This 54647-nucleotide long non-coding RNA is filed under the name Vigna radiata. Its description in RNAcentral is "long non-coding RNA (VRAD_LNC001232)". The record is from RNAcentral. Lineage: Eukaryota; Viridiplantae; Streptophyta; Magnoliopsida; Fabales; Fabaceae.
UUAUUUAAAAAUGCUACUCGUAAUAUUACAUUAUUUAUAAAGUUUAUAUAUCAUAACUGCUAUUGAAAGAAAAAACAAGUAAAUAUGGAAUGACUAAGAUAAUAUAUAACAGCAAGCCUUUAAGCUACCUCUUGUAAUGGGGAACUUUUNCUGUNAUCAUGCGAUAGAUAUUGUNGGUUAAGUUGUUCAAGAACCUAAAAUAUUAACAACAAAAUUUUCAUCUUCGUUUGAUUCAUCAACAUUUGCUUCAUGUGGUUGUUCCUCUGCGCCUCACAAUUUGUCUAGUGGCUUCCCACAAAGAUUGAUAUUAUAUUCAUAACUUGAAGCCUCAAAACUUUGUAGUUGAGUGCCAAUUGGAAUUUUCCCUGAUAAAUUAUUAGGAGAUAAAUCCAACAUGGUAAGCCGAUCAAUUUGGGUAAGGCUGGUAGGAAUUGAACCCAAUUAAAUUAAGGAGGAAAGCUUUUCCUACCAAAUUAUGCUCAGUUCUUAUAAAACACAUCUUCUCUCUAGAACUUCANCCCUCAUUCUCCUCUACCUUCUCUCUAACCUCCUUACUGAUUCACCCAGUGCAUAUUGUUGUUUAGCUGGCAUCCCUGUGUUCACGGAGUCGAGAACUUCAACUUGAACCAAGUGAUUUCGCGUUCUUUCUUGUAAAGAUUCUACUUUCCAUGUAAGUGGUUAUGUCUUGUCUCCGCUAUUUUAGAACCUAGCAUUUUGAUUAUGCAANGAUUCUGCUUUGCAUGUGAUUUGUAAUUCCCUUUUCUUCCCUUUCUAGCUCGAACUUGGUUUUAAGAACUGUCCUCCAUUGUCGAAAUGAUGAUAUGUUGGUUUGUUGAGCUCUUCGCUAUUUGAGGCACUCUUUAAGGGUUUCCAUUCAAGCUGUGUUGUGAAUCUAAGGUAAGGGGAGCUAGUUCUAUCUUUUAAAUUUGUUGUAUGAUGUUAGGGCAAGAUAAAUUUUGAUGUGGCUCUAUUAUUUUGCUUAGUCUAGAUUCCAGUAUUUGAAAUGUUCAUUUGCUUGAGUGCUUAAUUGUGAACUUGUAAUGUAGUGGUUGUAAACUAUUUUGGAUGAAUGAUUCCUGUAACGGUGCAUGUUGGAAGUGGUUGUUGUGAAGUUUCUGUUGUAGCUCUGAUUUGGAAAGAGGUGAAGUGCUAGGUACUGUUUCAGAUCAUUCUCAAGGAAUUAGAGUAGUGACUUUAGAAAUUGGGCUUUUGGGUAAAGUAGUGNUGCUUGCGUAGUCUAGACAGGUUAGUUGUGACUGGUUAGGCACCUCAAUUUGGUCUAAAACAUGGUGCAAGAGAUAAAAACUAAAAUUAGGUCCUUAGGUUGAUGNAUCAAGUUGAAGGUAAGGUAAGUAUACACUGUUUAGGCCAUUUUAGAGGUACCAAGGAAGUGAUAUGGAGAUCUAGGGGCCAAUGGCUAAUAUGGGUUGUUGGGACUGUUUGGUUAAGUCAUUUGAAACUUGCUAGUGGUGCUAAAAUGGUCAAAAAUGCAGUCUAAAUGGUAAAUUCAAUUUUAGGUCUCUAAGUUGAUGGAAUUGAGGUUUUAGGGAGUAAUUUGGUGCAUAAUCACUUUGUAAUGAUGUUGGGGACGUCUAGGACCAUUUAGACAAGUCUAAUUGGGUAUAUAAGAUGAUUUAGGAGUGUUAGAAAUUGGGGAAAAGGUCUAGAACGAGUUCUGGGGUGUUGGGUUGCAUAAAUCUGCAGAAUUUCUUUAUGCAAAUUAUGUAGACUCGCAUAGCGUACUGGGUGCGCUAUGCGAAUUACUCUGGAGGCCUCCCCUCUGUUGGUCUAUUCACCUAGCGCACAGGGGGAUGCGCUGUGCGAAAUCGUCUGGUUUCGCUGUGCGUCCUAGUGCGUUGUGCGACCAGGCCUAGUGAGUUUCACUUUUUCUUCUUUUGUUUGGAUUAUUUGAUGUAUGAUUGAUAAAGUGUAAGGUAUGUCCAUAUCUUUGAAUUAUGUGGCUUGAAAGAAUAUGAUUGCGAAUUGAAAUGAUGAAAUUGAGUAUGAAUUGGACAUCUCAAGGUGAGAUGAUUUGGAGUGGUUGUAAAGAUUGUGUUGUUGUCAUGUAUAAUUGUAUGGAGCUUUGAAAAGGUAUGUCCAUCCCUACACUUAAAGCAUUGUUCGUGCUNNNNNNNNNNNNNNNNNNNNNNNNNNNNNNNNNNNNNNNNNNNNNNNNNNNNNNNNNNNNNNNNNNNNNNNNNNNNNNNNNNNNNNNNNNGACCAAUAGUUUGACAGUUAUACAAAUUCGGAUGAGUCGUAUUGAGUAUUUGAUGCAUGGUUUGAAUUGUAUGCUUUGAUUGUUCUUUUUAUAUGUAACUAAACAUGAUGAUAUUAAUUGAUUGUGCUAUGUGUAUAUUGCUUCUUUACCUAGUCACCCAUGCUUUUGUGUUGUGUGUUGCUUGUGUAUGUUUUUCCUUUGUGAUGAUCAUCCACUUGGAUAUGANCAAAUGUUGAGGAGGUGCCCUUGGAACAAGCACUGGAGGAGGCUGAUGUUGUUGUUUAAGUCUCCUUAGGAUUGCUCUUAGCUAUAUUAUGUUAUUUUGAGAUACUUCUUAGGUUACUUUGAAGUACCUUGUUUGAUUAAAAGUUUUAAUUUAGACAAUUCUGGAUGACUGUAAUCCUAUAACCUUAACAACAUAACCACCAUUCUACUUACAACUGUUUUCCUAUAUUAUAAUUGNGGACUUCUAUACUAUAUUGCGUUUUAUAUAAUUGGGAUGUCACACUUUGUGACUAAGACAAUUUAUCAUAAUAGCAAACUUAUUACAUAUCUGGAUUUUUAUUAUUUAAAUAUUUUUUUUCAAAGAACUUAAGAAAAUUAUAAAAAACAAUUAAAACGAAUAAUUUCAGAUUUUUUUAUAAAAAAUCACACAAAAUAUAAAAUUUUCUAAUGGUAUUUAUUUUAUAUAAUGUUUUAGUUCUACAUAGAAAUAAAUAACGUUAUUUUGUUAGUCAUAUGUAAACUGUUGGACUGUGUUAAUUUGAACUCUUUCUAUGUGAAAUUAACCAUCUUGUUAUUCAUAAAAGAAGCUAUUGCAAAUAUUACAACUUGUUAAAAAAACAAUUGCCAUGCGAAAUGCAUUUUCAGAUUACUUUUUUAAUUUUAUUAUCUUUCGAAUAUUGGCUUAUAAUUCUAUCACUAUUUUUUAAAGAAACAAUUGAUCGAUUAUUUUUUAUAUAAAAUUGUGGUUUAAUAUAAAAAUUCCAAGUUCGUGUUAGUUACCUCUCUUUUCACAAGUCUUCGGAUAAGUCAAUUGAUUGGAAUAGAAUUAUUGUCCCAAAAAAUUUCCCACCAUUUGAUAAUGGGGAAAGUGACAAAGGUGGAAAAGUGGAAGGUUCCCUUGUCAUUAUAUUUGAAUAAAGACCAAUGUCUAAUUUUCCAAUAAUGACUAGAUUUUUUGAAGUUUCCUUUUUAUUUUUGCAAUAUUUUUACAUUUUGUCCCAUUACACCAAAUUAAUUUACUAUAACAAAGUCAUUUGCUAGUAAUAGUAAUAGGAGAUGACAAUAAGCUUUCACUAUUAAACUAUUUUCUUAAUAUUUAGAUGGACUUACAAAGUGUUUUAAAUAUCCGUAAAGAAAAAAAAUCUAUUUUAUGAAUUUUAUAAAAAAAAUCACAAACAAUAUACGAAUUUCUAAUUGUAUAUAUUUUCAUACAAUAUUUUGUCUCUAAGAAUAAAUGACAUUAUUUAUUAUUCGUGUAAAACUAUUAAUUUUUAUAAUAUGGACUCUUUUUAUGUCUCUAGGAAAAUGAACCAUCUUGAUACCCACAAAUAAAAAUAUAUUGCAAAUAGUACAAUUUGUUCGACACAAUUCCAUUUUGAAGUGCAUUUUCAGAGCACUUUCUUAAUUUUGUUUUCCAAUAUUAACUUCCAAUUCAUUAAUUAUAACUAAGGACGAGUUUAAUGUUUUUUUUUUCUUCAAAUAAUAUUGUCCUUUAAAAUGAAAAUACACAAGUCUUCUUNGAAGUCAAUUGAUAUUAUUGAUAUUAUUGAAAUGCAUAAUAAAGUUAUUUAUGGACCACAAAAAUUAGUUGAUAUAUGAUGAAUAAAAAAAAUUGAAACAGGCAAACACGACGACGACUUAGAAUAAAGUAAUUAAGGAGUUGGUGUGAGUAUAAAUGUGGUUAUUGGGAGUGCUAAAUUCAGAACACAUAUCAAUCUAAUUCUAUACUAUUCACUCUCUCUGUUUCAUCAUCAUGAAGAAUCUCAAAAUUAUGAUGUUUAUGUUUGUGGUGAGUGUGGUGUUGCAGGUUGCUUAUGGACAACACCAUAUUCGAUGCAUUCCAAAUGAGAGGGAAGCACUCCUUCAAUUCAAGGCUGCCAUUGUCGAUCGUUACGGUAUGCUUUCCUCUUGGACCACUCCCGACUGUUGCCAAUGGGAGGGGAUUCGCUGCAGUAACCUCACCGCUCAUAUUAUAAGCCUCCACCUUCCUGGACAGUAUUAUUAUGAAGUCUCUUGGCGUUACAUCAGCGGAGAGAUCCACAAGUCGUUAAUGGAGUUGCGACAGUUGCAGUAUUUGAACCUCAGUUUCAAUUAUUUUCGAGAGACUAAUAUUCCAGAGUUUCUUGGAUCUCUUACCAACUUGAGAUAUCUUGAUCUCUCUUCAUGUCAUUUUAGCGGACAAAUUCCAACUCAGAUAAGUUCUCUUUCUCAUUUGAAAUAUUUGAAUCUUGCUCAUAAUUAUUAUUUGAAUGGUUCAAUCCCUCGUGAAAUUGGAAAUCUCUCUCGGUUGGAGUAUCUUGAUCUCAGUGGCAAUUCUUUUGAAGGAUACAUUCCUUCUCAACUAGGAAACCUUUCAAAUUUGCAUAAACUCUAUCUUGGAGGAUAUGAUGGUGAUCUCAAAAUUGUCACUAGUGAUCAAUGGUUAUCUAAUCUUAAUUCUUUAACCCAUCUUUACUUNNNNNNNNNNNNNNNNNNNNNNNNNNNNNNNNNNNNNNNNNNNNNNNNNNNNNNNNNNNNNNNNNNNNNNNNNNNNNNNNNNNNNNNNNNNNNNNNNNNNNNNNNNNNNNNNNNNNNNNNNNNNNNNNNNNNNNNNNNNNNNNNNNNNNNNNNNNNNNNNNNNNNNNNNNNNNNNNNNNNNNNNNNNNNNNNNNNNNNNNNNNNNNNNNNNNNNNNNNNNNNNNNNNNNNNNNNNNNNNNNNNNNNNNNNNNNNNNNNNNNNNNNNNNNNNNNNNNNNNNNNNNNNNNNNNNNNNNNNNNNNNNNNNNNNNNNNNNNNNNNNNNNNNNNNNNNNNNNNNNNNNNNNNNNNNNNNNNNNNNNNNNNNNNNNNNNNNNNNNNNNNNNNNNNNNNNNNNNNNNNNNNNNNNNNNNNNNNNNNNNNNNNNNNNNNNNNNNNNNNNNNNNNNNNNNNNNNNNNNNNNNNNNNNNNNNNNNNNNNNNNNNNNNNNNNNNNNNNNNNNNNNNNNNNNNNNNNNNNNNNNNNNNNNNNNNNNNNNNNNNNNNNNNNNNNNNNNNNNNNNNNNNNNNNNNNNNNNNNNNNNNNNNNNNNNNNNNNNNNNNNNNNNNNNNNNNNNNNNNNNNNNNNNNNNNNNNNNNNNNNNNNNNNNNNNNNNNNNNNNNNNNNNNNNNNNNNNNNNNNNNNNNNNNNNNNNNNNNNNNNNNNNNNNNNNNNNNNNNNNNNNNNNNNNNNNNNNNNNNNNNNNNNNNNNNNNNNNNNNNNNNNNNNNNNNNNNNNNNNNNNNNNNNNNNNNNNNNNNNNNNNNNNNNNNNNNNNNNNNNNNNNNNNNNNNNNNNNNNNNNNNNNNNNNNNNNNNNNNNNNNNNNNNNNNNNNNNNNNNNNNNNNNNNNNNNNNNNNNNNNNNNNNNNNNNNNNNNNNNNNNNNNNNNNNNNNNNNNNNNNNNNNNNNNNNNNNNNNNNNNNNNNNNNNNNNNNNNNNNNNNNNNNNNNNNNNNNNNNNNNNNNNNNNNNNNNNNNNNNNNNNNNNNNNNNNNNNNNNNNNNNNNNNNNNNNNNNNNNNNNNNNNNNNNNNNNNNNNNNNNNNNNNNNNNNNNNNNNNNNNNNNNNNNNNNNNNNNNNNNNNNNNNNNNNNNNNNNNNNNNNNNNNNNNNNNNNNNNNNNNNNNNNNNNNNNNNNNNNNNNNNNNNNNNNNNNNNNNNNNNNNNNNNNNNNNNNNNNNNNNNNNNNNNNNNNNNNNNNNNNNNNNNNNNNNNNNNNNNNNNNNNNNNNNNNNNNNNNNNNNNNNNNNNNNNNNNNNNNNNNNNNNNNNNNNNNNNNNNNNNNNNNNNNNNNNNNNNNNNNNNNNNNNNNNNNNNNNNNNNNNNNNNNNNNNNNNNNNNNNNNNNNNNNNNNNNNNNNNNNNNNNNNNNNNNNNNNNNNNNNNNNNNNNNNNNNNNNNNNNNNNNNNNNNNNNNNNNNNNNNNNNNNNNNNNNNNNNNNNNNNNNNNNNNNNNNNNNNNNNNNNNNNNNNNNNNNAUAGUAACAGGCUAAAUGGGACAAUUUCUGAAGAUCUUCGAUUUCCACCCGAACUUGAGGUAUUAAACUUGAUGUCAAACUCUUUGAAAGGUGUGUUAACUGACUCUCAUUUUUAUAAUAUGACAAAGUUAGGGAUAUUGAUGUUGUCAGAUAACUCAUUGACGUUAGAAGUUAGUGAAAAUUGGGCUUCAACUUUUCAAUUGGAUACUAUUGAAUUGAGGUCUUGCAAGCUUGGUCCAUUGUUUCCCAAAUGGCUAGAGAAACAAAACAAAUUUCAAGACCUUGACAUUUCAAAUAGUGGAAUAUCAGGUACNGUUCCAAAAUGGUUUUGGACCAAAUUUGGAUUCUCAAGUUGGAUGAGUAUUAAUAUUUCAUGUAAUAAUUUACAAGGUACGAUUCCAAAUUUACCAUUAGAGAAUAAAUAUUAUUCUCUUAGUCUGGCAUCAAAUCAAUUUGAAGGUNAUGUUCCACCAUUUUUACGAGACUCAAUAUUUCUUGAUCUAUCAAACAAUAAAUUCUCAAAUUCUUCUUNGUUUUUAUGNUCUAGUGGUGUAGUUGAAANUUUAUNCCGAUUAGACCUUUCANAUAAUAUGUUUUCUGGACAAAUUCCAGAAUGUUGGACCCAUUUCAAAUCAUUGGCUUACUUAAAUAUGAGUCAGAACAAAUUUAUAGGAGAGAUUCCCUCUUCAAUGGGAUCACUCCUUGAACUUCAAGUUUUGUUAUUGAGAAGCAAUAGCUUAACAGGUAAAAUCCCUUCCAUCUUGAAGAAUUGCACANAAUUGGUGAUGAUAGACAUAGCAGAAAAUAGAUUAUCAGGAUCUAUCCCAAAUUGGAUAGGAAACAAAUUAUCGCAGUUGCAAUUUUUAAGCUUAAGAAGCAACUAUUUCUGUGGGAGUUUACCGUUACAAAUUUGUUAUCUAAAAAGCAUUCAACUCUUAGAUCUCUCGCAAAACAACCUAUCCGGAGAAAUUCCUAAAUGCAUAAAAAACUUUUCCUCAAUGGCUCGAACCACUUCUUUGAGAGAUUACAGAGGUCAUCAAUAUUUUGUCAACACUACUUAUACCGAAGGUAACUAUUAUUCAUAUGAUUUGAAUGCAAUCUUGAUGUGGAAAGGUUCAGAACAGAUGUUCACAGACAUGGGAUUAUCACUUUUAAAAAGCAUAGAUCUCUCAAACAAUCAAUUAUUAGGUGAAAUUCCAAAAGAAAUAGAGAGUUUAUUUGGAUUGGUAUCAUUGAAUUUAUCAAGAAACCAAUUGAAAGGGAAAAUUCCUUCAAAUGUUGGAGAGUUAAGAUCACUUGAAUUUCUUGAUUUGUCACAAAACCAACUUGUUGGUUCUAUUCCUUCAAGUCUUGCUCAAAUUGAUCGACUCACUAUGUUAGAUUUGUCACAUAAUUAUUUAUCUGGAAAAAUUCCAACUGGCACACAAUUACAGAGUUUUGAUGCAUCCAAAUAUGGAGAUAAUGUUGAUCUCUGUGGACCACCAUUAAAGAAAUUGUGCAUUGAUGGAGUGGCAAGACAAGAACCAAUUGUUAAAUUUCAAGAGGAUGACAAUUUAAUUUUCAAUCGUGAAUAUUAUAUAAGUAUGACAAUUGGAUUUGUCAUAAGCUUUUGGGGAGUGUUUGGCUCAAUCUUAAUAAUACGUUCUUGGCGUCAUGCAUAUUUCCAAUUCUUAAUUAAUUUAUCAGACAGCCUCUAUGUCAUGACAGUAGUGAAAGUUUUGAAGAGACUGCUCACAACAUAGCAGGUAAUAUAAUUUAACCUUAUGUUACAAAUUUAAUAUUUUUUCUUUAUUAUUAUUAUUAUUAUUAUUUUAAUAAACAGUUUUAACAAUAUGUGAUAUUGAUCAAUAUUGAAGGCAUUUUUAUGGUAAAUUGCCGUUCUUUUAACUAUCAAUAUAUAAAUAAUUAUCGAUCAUAUUAUUAUUAUUAUUUUAAAUAGAAUAUUAAAAAGCACAUAAAAGAUUUUAGAUUUAAAAAUGUUUUUCUCUCCACGUGUAUUCAUCCAUAAUAUUGCUUUUAUAUUUGUUUUUCUUAUUUUUUAUUUCACGAUGGUUAUUAGUUAGUUUGCUAAUUGACAUAUCACCAUUUAGUAGAAAAAUAUGCCAAAAAAAUAAAUUUCUUACAUGAAGAAAAUCCAUAAAUAUUUCAGAAAAUAAUUAAUAGAAAAAGAAGAUAUAUUAAAAAGAUAUAGGAAACAAAAAGUAAUUUUUUAUUACAGACCAAAUAAAAAUCAUAAUGUAUUUCAAAUCUAAAAAAAAAAACACAUUUAAAGCCAAAAUUUGUAUACACGUAAACGAUCGUAUAUACAAACAUGUUUUUAUAUUAAUACAUCAUAAUUAUUGUUACUGGUUAUCAAGAUAUUAUUUAGUGAAAAAAAAUUAAUAACAUUAAAUUUUAAUUUGUCAUUCAGUAUUUAUUAUUUAUGUUUUGUUGUUAUUACUUUUGACGAAAUUAAUUAUUUGUUUAAUUUUUGGCAGAGGAAAUCUGGAUUAUAGGUGUAAGAAGAAAUGGAAUUAUUGUUUAAGAUCGAAAGGGUUGUGAUUUGGAGAAAAGAGGUACUUCACUUGGAUUUGGAGAAAGAUAAUUCAGGAAGGUUUUAUGACAAUUAUUUUCUUUAAAAGUUUAUUGGAUGUUACUCCCUACAGCUCCUCAUUUGCUCCCUCCAUCUCCCUCUUCCUUUUUUAUCUCUCACUCCAUCUUUUUAUUCCUAUUUUAUCCUUUUUACUUUUAAGGUUAAAAUUUUAUAAUUUCUACUCAAUUUUCACAUACACCCAGAGAACUUAUCUAUUCUCUUUUACUUUAUCCUCUCAUUGUUAAUCUUUUAUCGUGGGAAUUAUUUUUCUUUUCUUUCUUUCGUUAUUGUUGUAACCUGAGAACGUGGUGAGUGAUAGAUUGCAGGUAGAAAGUAGAAGGAACUGUUGUAGAGGUGAGAAAGUUCAAUCUCAACUUUUAUUUUCAGUGUGAAUAAACUGCGAGUUAUGAAUCCUGAAUUGUGGAAAUCUCUUAAACGGAUAUGAGCAUCCGUCAACGGAUGUCAACAUCCGUUUAAAGUGAAACGGAUGUCGACAUCCGUUUAAAGUGAUUUGGGGCUGGGUUUUCAAGGUUUGGUCGCUGUUGCAUGUAGACCAUGGUAAAGGUAGGGUAUUCUUUGUGGGUUAUGCAACUCAAAGAAUGAAGAAGUGUUUUCAUGAGCAGGUUACCUUCUCGGGAAGGAGCUUCUGCGUGGAUUAAAAGAAGAGAGUGAGUUGCUUAUGGAAGAUAAGGAUCUUGUGGGGUGCAAGUGUGAAGGGUUGGGGGUGUUAAGGUAUGAGUGCAUGGGAUGAUGGGUGUAAGGGGAUGUUGUGUGAGUGCGUGAGUGAAUAGAAGAGUCUGUAGGAGUGUGUUAGAUUGUGAAGGUUUUGUUUGAUGAAGAAAAAGUAGAAAAAAGCUAGAAAAGAGUUGAGAGAAGAUGAAGGGAAUGAGAGUCGAUUGCGAGAAUAAUUAUGUAGAAAGGAGCUGGUGGGUGUAAAUGUUGUAGGAGAGGAGUAUGAGUGGAAGAAAGGGAGAGCUUGGUCGGUUGCAGGUGAAGGACUUAGCAGUGAGAGUGCCUCGGGUUGGGUAGCAUGAAUGAAAUAAUGUGUCUUUUAAGGGCUUAGUUUCUCAUCGUGGCUAUGUUGGGAAAGAAAGAUACAAAAAGAAAGGGUUGGGUAUGUGAGUUAAAUGGAGCAUAGAAAGAGAGAGGGAGAGAGUUGUGGGAUUGGUUCAAUGGUGGAAUAGUAGCAUACAGGGAGUGGAUAGUUGAGUAGUUGUUUUACGUCUGAGAGAAUGAUUGUGGGUAAUAAAGGAGAUGAAGAAAAGGUGUAAAAGGGUAUGUGUGGAGAGAACUGAAAAAGAAGUGAGAAGAGAGAAGAAAGAAGGUAUGGUUGCAUGGUUGGUAAAGUGUGUGAAACUUGGAGGAGGAUGGAUGUUGGAAGAUUAAAAAAGAGUUGAGUUUGUGGUAGAAGUAGCAAAUGCGAAAUAGGAAGUCUUGGUGGUAAAGAAAAGAAAUGAAAAGGUUGGAAGAGUUGUAUGAGUUUAGUCUAGGAUUCCAUAAAGAAAUAAGAAAGAAUGUCUAUGCAGUUCUGUAAUGCUAAAUGAAAAGGAGUUUUAAAGUAUGAGAGAAAAAUAGGGGCAUAUGUGAAUGAUGUUAGAGAAAGUAAGAAAUUGAGGAAAAAUUGGGUAGUUGAGGGUCCCGUGGCAUUGAUGAAAAGAUAGUAGUGUUCUUUUAAUUUUUUUUACGUAUAUGCUGCAGGAGUAAAAAUCUGGGAGUUUUGGAAAUUAGAAAGAAGUAUGAGAAAGUUUGGGAGAAGAUUAGGGUGAUGCAAAUAGAGAAGAAGGAGUUUCAUUGGGGAAGGGUUUUAAGGUUUACGUGAUUGUUUAUGCAUGGAAUGGGGAUAUAAAAGUGAUUUGCUUUAGAAUAAAAAGGGGCACAGUAAAGUGGUGAAUGAAGAAAGAAAUAAGGAAGGAAAGAAGAUUGCUACUUAAAGGAAAGGUAACAGUGAUGGUGAUAGGAAGAAAAAAGUUAUGCAGGGAUGGUUUAGUAUAUGGGAGUAGCGUUGGUGGUAGGAAAUUGAUAAUAAAUGGUAUAUAUAUUAUAUUAAUAUAAUAUACAGAGACAAACAAAGUAUGAUAAAAGAGGGUGACGGAAGUGGGAAGAAAAUAAAUAAAAAGUAAAAGAGAAGUAAAAAGGUUAAAAAAGUAAAUAAAAAAGUUAUGUUUGUAAUUAAAAAAAAAAUUAUAAAAAAUUGGGAAGGUGGAGAGAGUAAAUGAAGAGGUAGAGGUAACAACACUCUGAAAUUAUUAGUCAAAAACCAUAUGGCUUUUUCUGAUCCAACCCGCGUGGUUCAGAGUGAAAUCAUGGAGGGAGUGUCAAAUUUACGAAUCUACUACGUACGAAUUUGGUUUUUUGAAAAAAAAUUUCAUCCUAACGCACCAAAUUCAUAUACAAAUUUUAUAUACGAAAACAAAAAAAACUCGUAUAUAAAAUUCGUAUAUAACUCAAUUUUAGAAAUCCAUAUAUAAUAUCUGAAUUACUUACGGAUUAAAAUUUACAUGUAAAUAUCAAUGAUAACUCACAUUUUUCUCAGUGUUUUCUAUUUAUUUGUAAAUUUUACUAACAAACAUUUUAUUGAUGAAUUUUUAAAAGUCAAAAAGUUGUUAAUUUUUAUGUACCAUGAAGAUGAAUUCUACUCAUUCAUAAAUAUAUUUUAUCCUUAUAAGUUAUGAAAAUAAAUUCUUCAAGAAGAAUUUAGAAACAAUAUUUUUUUGAUGUCAAGUUGAAGAACAUAAAUAUCUUCAAAAUAUUGUUUGAAUUGAAAAAUUACCUAGCCUGAUGUUUUCUAUUAUAGCUUAGUUUAGGAUUGGAUAGGAGUAAAGGAUGUGUAUCAAAUAGAGUUAGUUCAGAUUACAUUCUCUUGUAAAUAAGACUUAGAUACUCAUAAUUAAGCCCUAAUAAAAAGAAACCAAUAUGAGCUCUGCAAAUCACUUUUGAUUUUGAGAUUAAAACCUCAAGUAACAAAGACAUAUUAUAGAAAUGACAAUUUAAGUAUAGAGGGUUUUACUUUAUAGAGUUGAGAGAUAAAGGUUUAGCUCACCCACAAUAAACACUUUGACAACUUGUAAAUUCUACAAAAUUGUAGAGCUCUUAUGUGUUCGUCAAAUUUAACUUGAAUAUUUUAUAUAGGUUCUCCACGUAAUUGCUUUUUCAAUCUUGCUUCUUUUGGAUUCUUUGUAACUUGUUAUUUUAUGCAUGGUUUUCCUUGACUUGUGCUAAUUGGAAGUUUUUAUGGAAAGUUUUGAUACUUGGUAACUGUAUCUUUUAAUUUCUUUGUAAGAAACAAGCUAAGAACAUGUGAUAAAAGCAUGAUGCAAUAUGAUGAUGAAUCGCAAUAUGUUUCUUUUCUUUCCUAUGAUGUUAUCUAGUAUGGAUGUUGUAGAAUAUACACUUUCGAUUUUGUGUUUAAUCAUUUAUAGCGUAUAUGAUAUUAUAUCUUUACCUAUCUUUAAUUCGUUUUAUCUCUAAAAAAAACAUAUAUGAUUAUGUCUUUAAUUACAUAUAUGUUUAAUAUGUACACUAGCAGUGACCACUGAUACUUCAACUUGAAUAAUAGGUAUUAAUUAAACAGGUAUUAAACCAUAUGGGUUUCAAUAGUUCUAAUAUUCUUAAUGCGUAUAGAACUAUUUUUUUUUUCUUGAAAAUGUGAAAUCACUUAUUUGUACUUCCAAAAUUGGAAUUACCAAUUUUGUGACGAUAAUUCAUUAAAUUUAAAUCUAAUUAAUUUUUUUUAUUUUGACAAACAAUUUUUUAUAUUUUAACUCUUUCAAUUUCAUGUCAUAAUGGAGAUGACAAAGAAAGUGACAAAGAUGAAAGAGUAAAAGGACUUAUUAUUAUAGUACCUGUAAUCCUAAAAUGAAAGAUAAUUAUUGAGUUAAAAAUCGACAAGCAUGAUCUUCUAAUGAUAUACAAUUAUUUAUAUUCUGUUGGUUUAUUGAUGUCUUAAUUUUUAUUUUGAUUAUUUAAGUUUAUGUUUAAUGUGACCUAGCCAAGGAUUCCUAAAUUAGUGAUACUUGAUGUUUCCAAAAUAUUUGUAUUUUUUUUAUCUGUAACAUAUUUGUGAUCUUAUGUUAUAAGAUAUGAUGCAUUUUAUGAAUUAUAGUACAUCUAAGUUCGUCCCGUUUCAUUUUGUCAUCUCUACCCACAAUAAGAUAAUGAAAAGAUAAUUAAUCAAUACAAGGCAAAUCAACAAUAAGUUUCUUUUUUUAUUUGUCAAUAUUUUAUAAUUAUGUACAUUUACCCCAAAAUAAUUUACUAUAACAAACUCAUUUGCUAUUAUUAUGAGAUGACAAUAUUAUAAGAACGGUAGAACUUGUGACAUAAGCUUUCGCAACUAAAAUACAUAAUAUUUUAUUCGUCUUUUUUUAAUAAUCACUAGUGAAAAACACUGUUUAGCGUCACCACAUAGACGUCGGUUAUUAGGUCCACUGACGUAAAACGUUGACCAGUGGCAACUUCGUAAUUAAGUAGGGCAAGUAGAUGUCGGGACAUGCUCUACCCGAUGAGUGAAGAACCAUAGACGUCGGGGCCCCUACAAAGAAACGUCUAAAGGUCUGCCAGGUAAGGUGAAUAGUCGACCUAUAGACGUCCCCAUGACAACCACCAACGUCUAAAGGUCUCAAAGGUGUGAACAGUCACGAGAUAGACGUCGGUGACCCCCUAAUUGACGUCUAUAACUGACAAGUAGUUGAAUGUCAUUAAUGGUCUGAGGAAUAGACGUCGGUGCCCCCCUAAUGGACGUCUAUAACCUAACAGUUAGGUGAAACUGUAAUGAUUGUGCUACAAACUAGACGUCGGGUACCAUGCCACCGACGACUAUGUCCAACUAGAUGUUAGUUGUGUACAUAACUGAUGUCUAUAAUCCGCGCCAAUAUUAAUAUUUAAAUCAUAUAGACGUCAAAUUAGUGAGAGCACCAACGUCUAUAACCUUGCAGACGUCUUUCGCGAUAGCAAACCGAUGUCUAUAGUGACAUAAACUUCAGAACACGAACCCGCAAGCAGUUUCCACUAUUCAUCUUCUUCUUCGUCGAGAGCUUUCCCCUGCCGCGCCAUUAGAGGUUCGUUUUCAUUGUUUUUUACCGUUUAAAUUUAGUUUUGCUCCGAUUGAAUUAGUCUUUGAUGAAAAAGCUUUCAUUUGAACCGAUCAUAAUUUCAUUUCGUUGCAUUUUGUUGCAGUUUCAAACGUCUUGUUGGGUUGCGUUUUGGACUGCUUUUGGACUGUUUUUGGCGUGCACUACGACAUCUAUCUCAUUUGGUUAUAUAUAAUGUGCUAAAAAGGUUAGGUUGUUUCUUGAAAACUUAAUUUGUAUGGAUAUUAUUGGCUUUUGUGUAUGAUGUUGGCAAUUUGAAUUUGCAUUUUAUUGGUUUUUUUUUUAUAAUUUCAUAUUGACGUUUAGGUAUGCAUGUGUUUGCAAAUUGUUAGUAUAUGCAUGUGUUUGCAGAUUGUUAGUAUAUGCAUGUGAUUAAGUUUAGUUGUGUUAUUAUAAUUGACAUGCAUUAGUAUGAAAUCANUNAGUGAAACUUAGUNNCNGUUUGAAAUUUAACACAAACNAUUAAUCUUUUNAUCGUUUGUAUUAAAUUUUGAAUUGUCCAAUUGUCCAAUUGUCCAAUUUUAUACUAAUGAACUAUGUUACGAACAUAGUAUGGAUCGAAGUUGGAUGAAUGCACGUCGCCUCUCUGAAGAAUAUGAGAAGGGUGUUUCGGUGUUCUUGCAAUAUGUUAAAGAAAAUGCAAAGUCUGUGAACGGGACAUAUUUUUGUCCUUGUGUUCGUUGUCUCAAUAAAAAACGACAAGACUUGGGCAAUUUGCAUGAUCAUCUAUUUAUGUUCGGCAUAACGAGAACGUAUACGGUUUGGACUUGGCAUGGAGAAGCACUAGACCAACCUAUGACGUCACGAGGAACAAAUUAUUUAGAAGAAUGAAUGAGUAAUCAUUUAGAGGACAUGAUACGUGAUGUUGGUGAAGAUAACUUUAGAAGAGCUAAUUUGUACGAUUCUAUAAUCAAUGAUUCUGAGCAACCGUUGUACCUAGGUUGCACGAACUUUACACGUUUAUCUGCAACUUUGAAGUUGUUCAGUUUAAAAGCAAGGAAUGGAUGGACCAAUAAAAGUUUCACGGAGUUGUUGGAGUUGCUGAAGGACAUGCUUCCAGAAAAUAAUACUUUUCCUAUUCGAAAUUACGAGCCAAAAAAGUUUUAUGUCAAAUGGGCCUUGAAUAUCAGAAGAUACAUGCUUGGCCCAAUGAUUGUGUUUUGUACAUCAAGGAGUUUGUUUCACUAAAGUACUGUCCAACAUGUGGUUUAAGCCGUUUUAAAAAGAAAUCUGACAAAAACACUACUGAAGAAUGUAAUGAUGGUGCACUUAGUAAGGUCAUGUGGUAUUUGCCUAUAAUACCUAGGUUCAAAAAAAUAUUCUCUAUUAAGGAGGAUGCAAAGAACCUUAAAUGACACGUUUUAGGAAGAAAGUGCGAUAAUCUUCUUCGACACCCGGCAGACUCACCACAGCGGAAAAAGAUCGAGGAAACAUUUCCAGAAUUUGGGGCAGAUCCAAGAAACUUAAGACUUGCACUUGCAACUGAUGGCAUGAAUCCGUACGGGAACUUAAGUAGUAAACACAGUUCAUGGCCAGUUAUGUUGAUGAUAUACAAUCUUUCUCCUUUGUUGUGCAUGAAGAGAAAAUAUGUGAUGUUGUCAAUGAUGAUAUCUGGUCCUAAACAACCUGGCAAUGACAUUGAUGUUUACUUGAAACCUUUAAUUGAUGACUUGAAAUUGUUGUGGGAAGAAGGUGUCAAAGUGUUUGAUUCAGAUGUUGAAGAGAAUUUCCAUAUGUGUGCAAUGUUGUUUUGCACUAUAAAUGAUUUCCCAGCCUAUGGAAACUUGAGCGAUUAUAGUGUUAAAGGACAUUUUGCAUGUCUGAUUUGUGAAGAAAACACCAGUUACCUUCAAUUGAAGCAUGGUCAGAAGACGGUUUACAUAAGACAUCGAAAAUUCCUUCAUCGCAAUCACCCAUAUCGUAGAUUGAAAAAAGCAUUCAAUGGAAGUGCCGAGGAUGCGGUUGUGUGUAGACCCCAGAAUGGUGAACAGGUGUACCAGGAAGUCAAAAUCAUUGACAUUGUAUUUGGAAAACAUCGUAAAAGUACAUAUCCAAAAAUUGUUUGGAAGAAAGGAUCAAUAUUUUUUAAUCUUCCUUAUUGGUCUUUACUUGAUGUUAGACAUUGUAUUGAUGUGAUGCACGUAGAAAAAAAUGUUUGUGACAAUGUCAUCAGAACUUUAUUAAACGUCAAAGGGAAGACCAAAGAUGGAAUAAAACCAAGACAAGAUUUGGCUAACAUGGGAGUUCGAACAGAGUUACAUCCACAAACAAUAGGUAGAAGUGUGAAGGUUCCACAAAUUUUCCCCCAGCCUGUCAUACUCUUUCUAAAAAAGAAAAACAAAGGUUUUGUAAGUCUUUAAGAAGUGUGAAGGUUCCACAAGGUUAUUCUUCUAAUAUUAGUAACCUCGUUUCUAUGCAAGAGCUAAAGUUAGUUGGUUUAAAGUCUCAUGAUUGUCAUAUAUUGAUGCAACAAUUGUUACCAGAUGUUAUUCGAGGCAUAUUACCUCCUUCUGUUAGGGGUAUUCUGACACGUCUGUGCUUUUUUUUUAAUGCCGUUUGCAAGAAAGUUGUUGACCCUGGAUGUUUAGAUCAAUUGGAAAAUGAAGGAAUAAGACUACUAUGUGAAUUGGAGAUGUAUUUUCCACCUUUUUUUGAUAUCAUGGUUCGUUUGAUCGUUCAUCUAGUCCGAGAAAUUCGAAUAUGUGGGCCGGUUUACCUCAGGUGGAUGUAUCCUGUUGAAAGAUACAUGAAAAUCUUAAAGGGAUAUGUCAAGAAUCAGUAUAGACCAGAAGCUUCAAUCAUUGAGCGAUACAUUGCAGAAGAAGCCAUUGAAUUUUGUUCAGCUUACAUGCCAAGUUGUGAACCAGUGGGUCUACCGAAGAGCAUACAUGAAGGAAAAUGUGAAGGUAAGGGUCGUGGCGUGAGGAUUCAACGUGUGAGUAGACAAGAAUUUUAUCAAGCUUAUUUGUACAUCUUAAACAACCCUGAUGAUGUUAUUCCUUACAUUUAUGAACACGUUAAUGAAAUAAAGGCAUCACACCCAAGAAUGAGUGAAAAAUGACAGCUUAAUGAACAUGUCAAAACCUUUUUACCAUGGUUUAAGAAAAAGAUUUAAGCGACUCCAAAUGUUUAUGAAACUCUAUUGAGGUUAUCUCGGGGGCCAAACACAGACGUCAUUACAUAUGGUGGGUACUAUAUUAACAAUAUAUCUUUUCAAACAAAGGAAGAAGAUGACAAAAGUAGAGUUCAAAAUAGUGGGGUUACACUAAAAGCUGAGUCAGUGCACUUCUCUAGUUCUAAAGACAAAAAUUCAAUCACUGCAUCAAUUAGUUAUUUUGGAGUAAUACAAGAAAUAUGGGAGGUGGAUUAUGUGAGGUUUAGAGUCCCCAUAUUCAAGUGUAAAUGGGUGGAUAUAUAUUCUGGAAUGAUUACAGAUGGCUCUGGUUUCACAUUGGUAGAUCUUAAGAAAAUGAGUUUCACUAAUGAACCAUUUAUUAUGGCAAGUCAAGCAAGGCAAAUAUUCUACGUCAGCGAUCCAACAAAUGAAAAAUGGUCAAUGGUUUUGGAAGGGAAAAACCACCACGGUUUUGAUGAUGAAGAAUUUCUUUGUGUACUUCAGACAACAUGUAGCACAUCAAGACCCAUUGAAGACUCAAUUGAUGAUGUUGCCGAUGACAUACAUGCAAUUCGUAGUGAUCAUGAUGAAGGGAUCUGGGAGAAAACAAUAUCUUAAUAAGUAACGUCUUGUUUUUGGUUUAGACUUUCUAUGAAUUUAUAUUUACAUGAAAAUUUCAAUUUCAAUUCAUAAUAACUAACCUUGUAUAUAUUUUUCAGGUAUGUCGACCUCAGACUCAGCAUCAGCACAGAGCAGACGUACACGAGGAGUGACACGUUUUCCAGAAAUGACAUUUGGACAGGUUCCUGGGCAGAGGAAACAUUUUGAGAUUGACACAAGAAUCGGUCUGGCAUCAAGGCCAAAUGCAAAUAAUUUUAGUAGUUAUCUGAGAUAGCCAAAACCCAUGUUUCUAUCCUUCAUGCAACUUGGGAUGACGUCCUAGAGGUCGAGAAGAACCUUUUAUGGCAAGAUGUUCAGGUAUGGUGACUUAAAAGAAAUUUUAUAUAAUUAUUUCUUUGAUUUUAUUAUGUCAUUAACACGUUCGUUGUUUUAAACAGCUAAAAUAUGAUGUUCCAAACACCAAGGACAUGAGGCAGAAAAUCUUAUCGCACAUAUGUAAGAGAUGGAGGGAUUUCAAGACAAGGCUGACACAUCUGUAUGUAUUUGGAAAAAGAAAACAUGAGAAUCCAUCUCAGAAUUAUUCCUUCACAAAAGAAGAAUAGAACCAGUUUCGUCAAUCUAGAAAGAGUGAGGAAUGGAAGGUAUUUAUCUUAAACAACAAGGUCUUCAAAGCAGUUUUAAUUAUUAUAUAGUUAUGCGUAAAAAUUGUUUUACAGGAUAAAAGGUUAGCCGCCCAAGAAAGGCAAAGGCUAAAUGAUGCACCACACGUGUUAUCACGAGGUGGUUAUGCGAAACUGGAGUAGAAACUUAGGAAAGAUCGAGCGGAUGAGUUGGGGCUUGAGUUCCCGGACCAAGCACCUCCACCUACAAGGUACGAGAUGUGGAAGGUUGCUCGGACAAAAUCUGAUGGGAACAUGACAUCUGCCUCAGCCUUAGCGAUCUCACAGAGAAUUGUAAGUUCAAUUGUAAACAUUACUUUAUUGUAUUUUUAUCAUAUCUUGCAAUUUAAGUAACGUAAAUUUUUUAUCAUAUGUGCAGGAUGAGUUGGUUGAGCAGCAGACACAGGGAACAUUUACUCCCCAAGGUAGGGAGGACAUUUUAACAAUGACCAUUGGCAAACCGGAGCACCCAGGACGUGUACGUGCAGUUCCUGGGUCCAUUGGUCUUUAUGAGUACUUUGGCCCUGUACAAAAAACAACUUAAUCAACGAAUCAGGAGGCACUGAGGCAGAUGGAUCUUUAGUGGGAACAAAGAAUUCGUCAAAUGGAGCAACGCUUCACUGAGCAACUAGAAGAACAAAAACAAUACGAAGAGCGCUUGAAGAGAAGUUGCAAUCCAUGACGCACGCCACCAUGGGUGUGUCCACUGAAACUCCCACACCACCUCCUGCCAACACUAAAGGAUCCUGCUCUACUGUUGAACCUACUGACUAUAUUGCUCAGUAUGACUUGUUGGUUGAUGGGGAUCCCGCACCCAUUGUGGCUGUGGGAUGAGUAGCUGAGGGAGGCCAGACUAUUCAUGGUGUUCCCAUAUCACCCGACCACGUGCGUGUCAUGAUUGACGAGUGAUGAGUCGAUAUUUUAUACCAUUAACUUAGUUUUUCGCGCCGAAUUGUGUUGAUGAUUUGCGCUUAAUUCUUAGUUAUUGUGUCAUUUUCACUAUUUGGGUUUAAUUAGACCAAUAAUUCUUAUUUUAAUUAAUUUGAAUUAUUUGAGCUUGAUUAUUCCUAUUUUCAUUUUCAGGGAAAUUUUGGAAAUACACUGGGAGACUUUUGGAAGGGCAUAAGCAAUUGAAGAAUUUUUACAAUUUCUUUUUAGAAUUAAUUAAACUUUAAUCUAGUGUUUUAGAAUUUGUAGACUUAGGUUUUAUGAUUUUGGGCCAAUUUUUGGUAGUGUAGGCAAAGCCCAAGUUGUAAAAAAACUUGACAUAGCUUUAGGGUUUGGGUGGACCCCACCCUAGUUUUUUUUGACACACAAUUCUCGGACCAUUGGGAGGACUGCCGUCACCUUGCAGAGGAUUUUUUUCUCUCGGGAUUUUUUGGUUUUCAAUGGGUUUUUGGGCUGGAAAACUCUCUUAGCCGAGAGAACAUGAUGUUCUUGAUGAUAUAAACCUUGCUUUUGAAGUUGAAUGCAAUCUUACGUUAUUUUACUUUGAUGGAAUGAAUGGCAUGAUUUCUUUUGUUCUCCUUUCCUUGCUGUCACCAUUAUAUUAAAAGGCUAGUUCCUUUCUCGGAGGAAUGAAGAUUGAUUGAUUUGGUGGCUGCAGCAUUGCUAUUCAACUAAGCUUGUUAUUCGUGCAUUUAAUGAAUUGAAAAGUAGAUAGAUGAUGGUGUUUACGGUUUCUGCUGAGUGAGAAUGAAGUGUGGGGUCCGGUUGUGAUUGAAGAGGUAAUUAGAAUGGAGUCAAGGAUGGGACGUUGUGCUAUUGAGGCAGAGAUGGAAGUUGUUCUUUGGUGAUUGAGCUGGAGGUGUCCCGUUUGGAGGAAGGGAGCAUGUUCCAGAAUUUUGUGGCAGCUGUUUCGUCCAAUGCAUCCAGUUUUUCCUUGCUCGGUUUGCUAUUAAAUAUGAUGCAACGUUCAUUUGAUAUGCAGCCACACAAUUUCUCGGUCCAGAUUUUUUAUUGGGUUGCUUAAAAAGUAACAACUUAUUCUUGGGAAUAUAAGAGAGACUAUUAGGUUUUCAAGGUGGAGUUAAACAAAUGCAUCUUUUUAUUAGGUGUCACGGCUGGAGCAUAUUAUGAUUAAUUGAUUCUGAAAUUGUGGAAAUGGAAUUUGGAAGAAACACGUUGCCUAGCUACAGGAUGAUGGGAUGCCACGGUUUGACAAUUACUUUCUUUUAGAAUGAAAAGCAUUGCAUUUGAAACAUUUUUGGAUGCCACGGUUAUGAUGCUGGUGCACGGUUUCAGCCAAGAAAAAUGGGUCACGGCAAUGAGUGUUAUUUCAAUGGUAUUACAAUUUCAAGUUUUCUUGGGUAAAUAUCAUUUGGUCACGUGAGUGAUAGGAAAAAUUGUGUUUGUUUAUUUCUUUUGCUUUAAUUUAAUUUNNNNNNNNNNNNNNNNNNNNNNNNNNNNNNNNNNNNNNNNNNNNNNNNNNNNNNNNNNNNNNNNNNNNNNNNNNNNNNNNNNNNNNNNNNNNNNNNNNNNNNNNNNNNNNNNNNNNNNNNNNNNNNNNNNNNNNNNNNNNNNNNNNNNNNNNNNNNNNNNNNNNNNNNNNNNNNNNNNNNNNNNNNNNNNNNNNNNNNNNNNNNNNNNNNNNNNNNNNNNNNNNNNNNNNNNNNNNNNNNNNNNNNNNNNNNNNNNNNNNNNNNNNNNNNNNNNNNNNNNNNNNNNNNNNNNNNNNNNNNNNNNNNNNNNNNNNNNNNNNNNNNNNNNNNNNNNNNNNNNNNNNNNNNNNNNNNNNNNNNNNNNNNNNNNNNNNNNNNNNNNNNNNNNNNNNNNNNNNNNNNNNNNNNNNNNNNNNNNNNNNNNNNNNNNNNNNNNNNNNNNNNNNNNNNNNNNNNNNNNNNNNNNNNNNNNNNNNNNNNNNNNNNNNNNNNNNNNNNNNNNNNNNNNNNNNNNNGAUAGGAACUUUUUUAGCCUGGCCUAGAGCAUUGGUUAUCACACACAUUGGUACACAACAGGUAUAAUAUUGUUAUCUUUACUAAUUUUAUAUUAUCAUUUAAAAAUAUUUGUUGAUAACUUUGAAAAUUUUAUGUUCAGUUCACACGUCCUCAAAAGCAACCGAUGCAUGAGGCACCAAUACCUGAAUAUGAUGAUGCUGAUGAUGGUGAUGACACGACUGAAGCAAAAGAUAAUCCCAUAGCAAAGCUAAUGUCAAACCUUCCCAAGUUCAACAAAGGAUCAAUACAAAUAUACUGGGAAUUACGAGUAUUUGGUCUCCCCCCCAUAUGCCAGUAUAUAUCACAUUCAAUGAUGUAUCGAAGAUCAUCCAGGGAGACAAGGAGUUGAAUAUUUCCAUUAUUCAACUAUGGUGAGAUAGUUAAUUUUGUCAACCAUAAUAGUUUAAUUUAGAUGCCUACUUUGUAACAAGUUAACUUUGUUGUUAUAGGUACAUGAACACAGUCAUUGUAGACCAAGGUCGGUCUUCCGUUUAUGGAUUUGUUGAACCUCAGACCAUUGAACGUUGUGGUAACACAGCUGAAAUAAAGCAAGAUGAUUUGCAAACAUGGAUGGCUGAGUCAAAUAGAGACAUAUACCUUGUGCCAUACAUUGAUGGGUAUGUGUUGUUUUAUGUAAAAGGUAAUUAAAUGUUUCCUUAAUUAGUUUACUAACUAUUUAUGAUGUUCCAAACAGGGCUCACUGGCAACUGGUGGUCCUCAUUCCCAAACAAAGUACAGUUGUCUUCUUCUGUUCGCUGCAAAGGAAGAUGAAAAAUGACUUGAAAACCUUGCUUCAAGGGUAAGUGUAUCUCUAAAAAUGACUUUUAAAUUCAUGUCGGCCUUAAUUUUUUAUGAUUUCAUACUUAUAUUCAUAUUACUUUCUGUUUUAAUGUAAAUAGAGUAAUGGGUAAAUCUCGAGGUCAGCUAAAUCAAGUCUUGUAUCCCAAGGUUUGGUGCAUUUAUAGUUUUAAUUCAUUUACUGUUAUUCAAUGAUCUUAAUUCUUGACUAUAUUUAAUUUGUCAUUUUAGUGUAACAAACAGCUAGAUUCAUGGGAAUGUGGGUACUAUGUGAUGUCUUGGAUUAAGACCAUCAUUCGAGCUGACAUUACAGAUAGCUGGAGUGAGGUAAUAAUAAGGCUUACUUUUAAAACAUAAAAAAUCAUUUAAUUCUUUUGAACAUAUAUGAAACCAUAAUCAAUAUUUCUUUAUUGUGCAGCGCUUCAACAAUCCAUAUGCUUUACCCCAAGACACGAUAAAGCAACUAAGGCAGGAGUGGGCAACUUAUCUUCUCCAAAAUUGGAACUAGAGCAAGACUUAUUUUUGUUGUUUUGAAUUACUUAGGUUUAAGUUUAGUUUAAGUUUAUAAUUUCAUUUUUUUGAUCUUUGAUUGAAUUAUAUCUAUUUAUAGCUCAAACAAACAAUUCUUUAUUAUAAACAAUUGUUCUGGGAUAUUUUUCUGAAUUUCAGGUGCGGUUAUAGUCGAAAAAUAAAAAUUUUAUUUAAAAAAAAUACCCAGUAGACGUCGGUUAAUGCAAAACUGACGUCUCUAGACGUCUAUCAAUGCAUAACGCGACGUCCAAUAAGUAAUAGUGGACAAAACGAUCCAGUGCGUACAAACGUCACUUUUGUUGACCACUGACGUCUAUGUUAACGUCUAUUGUGGCUACGCAUGACGUCUAUGUAGACGUCAGAUGUUUACAAAGCCGACGUCUAGAUAGACGUCUGUCAUUACCUAACUGAUGUUAAGUUAACGUCACUGAAAUAGACGUUGGUUCCUUAAGUGACGUCAAAAGUCCAAAAUAGCCGACGUUAAAUAGCGUUUUUCCACUAGUGAAUUAGCGGGACUCACAAAUUUUUUGAAAAAAAAAUUGAAAAUAUAUUUUUGUUAUGAACUUCACAAAAAGUAAUAAGAAAACGCAGAAAAUGUUCAAAUUUCUAAUAGUAAUUAUUUUCAUAGAGUAUUUUAUUACUAAAUGAAAAUAAAUAAAAUUAAUUAGUAUUCAUGUAAACCAUUAAAUUGUAUUAAUUAGGACUGUUUCAAUUUCGUUACGAAAAAUUAACANACUUGGUAUCCAAAAAUAAAGAUAUUGCAAAUAGUACAAUUUCUUCAAAACAAUUGCAUUGUGAAAUGCAUUUUCAGAGAACUUUCUUAACUUUUUUUAUCUUUCAAAUUUUAACUUGGAACUCUUUCAUUAUUUGUAAGGAUGNAUUUGAUGGUUUGGUUCUUCAUAUAAUAUUGUGAAAAUUUAAAAUGAAAAUUCACAAGUCUUCGAAGUCAAUUGACUUUGGAAUGAAAUUAUUGUCCUAAAAAAAGAGUUCGAUGAGUGAUUUAUUCCACAACCACCAAAUUUGUCUCAUACUAUAAAAGCAACAGCAUUUCAUUUGGUAGCAAUUUCGAAGUAGAUGCUACGUAAUUUAUAGUGUAUAUUCUAUGCAUCAGAUAAAUUAAGUUUAUAGUGAUUAAAAAAAUACCUUUUAUCAUAUGGGUACAUUUCUUAACAAAUAAACUGUGGAAAUAGUUUAUCUUUUUGAGUUUAAUAUAUAAGUAGAGCACCUUAUUCUUCACUUUCCGACUCAUGUUAACUUAGUUUAUUAUGGCUUCUUAUAUAUUAUGGCUUAGUAACACAUCAUAGGUAAAAGCAUGGAAAAUAGGUGUUGGUAUUUGGUGGACUUUAAGCGCGUUUUUUGGACCUGCUGCCAUUUUAAUUCCUAUAAUAAUAACGAUAGUGGUGGAAAAUGGUUUAUUUAUUUUUAUAUAAAAGUGUGUUUUAGGAUGUGUAAGUUACCCUUCUUUCUCAAGUCUUCCGAUAAGUCAAUUGAUUGGAAUAUAAUUUUUGCCCUAAAAUAGUUCUCACCAUUAAUUUUUUAAUGGUCAUAGUUAUAAUUGAAUGUAAACCAUUAUUUCUGUAAUAGUUAGAAACUUAUAUAAAGAGUUUCUUUAUUCAAAAGAUAUAAUAUAAUAAGUAGUUUGUUAUAAAGUUUCUUCCCUUCUCCUAUUUUAAGUAUUUUUAGUGAAUUUAGGAAUCAACAAAUUCUUGUUCCUACAUCUGGUAUCAGAGCCAGAUCAAAUAUUUGUGAUUACAUCAUGGCAAGUAACAUUCAAGUUCCACUUCCAAAAUUGACUGCUGAAAAUUAUGAUACCUGGGCAAUCUAGUUGAAGGUAUAUUUCCGCUCUCAUGAUUUGUGGGAUUUGGUGGAAAAAGGCUUUGAAGAUGUUACAGACUCAACAACAUUUGAGUCCCUUAGUAGAGAGGAGAAGGACGCAUUGAUAGAAACACGUAAAAAGGAUCAGAAGCAUUGUAUUCUAUUUUCUUAGCAGUUGAACAAAAGACGAUAUUUCAAAAGAUAUCAUUCGCAGAAACAUCACAUGCAGCAUGGGAUAUUCUGCAGAAAUCCCUCAAAGGUGAUGAUAGAGUCAGACAAGUUCGUUUGCGAACACUUCGAGGCACUUUUGAGAACUUGCGCAUGGUCGAGGAAGAAACAAUUUGAGAAAUAGGAAAGGUGCUUGGAAGGUGGCGAGAGAGAGUCUUUGGACUCUCUAGCCUAUGACUUUCAAGAGAGAAUUAUUUUCUGAUUCAGAAAUUCUAAUUCUCAUUAUUAUUCUCAAAAGUGAAAAUACAAUAGAGGAGCUGGGUAUUUAUAGUGACCCAAGCUCCUUGCAAGCUAAGCUACAGAUACAAUAAAAUAUAAAAAUACGACUAAGAGGACUAUGUCAGGAAGGAUUCCAUCACAAAGUCUUCAAAAGUUUUGCAUUUCUCUUCUCGCACAAACUCUCGCCUGUCACUGUUGUUCUUCAACCCCUGCUUGUUUCGUGUUAUUAAUUCUCAGGUUAUAUUAAAAAGUGAGGUUACUAUUUAAUUAUAGUUAAAAUGGAUUUGGGGUUUCUUUAGAUCCAGGGGUUGAUUAUGUUUAGGGUUUUGUUAUUAAAUUUUUUUUCCUAAACCCAGAUCCUCUUCUCUUUCUGAUUCUAAUUAAGGGUUCAUGUUUUUUUUGUCCUUUUGGAGGUUCAGGUUCCACCUCUUUCCCUUGAACGCGCUAAGUAGAGGCUGAAGCUUCUUCCCUUUCUUUUCUUGCUUUCUCGUGAGCACGAGCAGCGAGAGUGUUGUGAUGGAGGUGAGUGACCAGCAAAGACGUGGAGAGACGUGGUUGGGUGCGAAUGGGGUUGCGAUGACGGACAAAGGUGGCAGUGGCGCAUUUUAGAUUAUUCAUGAUGAUGAAAUAGAGAGUGAAUAGUAUAGAAUUAGAUUGAUAUGUGUUGUGAAUUAAGCACUUCCAAUACCCACAUUUAUACUCACACCAACUCCUUCAUUAUUACCUAUUCUGUUCUAAUUUUUAUUCAUCAUAUCAACUAUUUUUGUGGUCAAAAAAUAUCUAUCGACUUCGAAGAAGACUUGUGUAUUUUCAAUUUAAACGACAAUAUUAUACGAAAAAAAAAAAACAUCAAACUCGUCCUUACAAAUAAUUAAUGAAUUGGAAGUUAAUAUUUGAAAACAAAAUUAAGAAAGUGCUCGGAAAAUACACUUCAAAAUGCAAUUAUCUGUCCAACAAAUUGUACGUUUGGAAUAUAUUUUUAUUUGUGACUACCAAGAUGGUCCAUUUUCCUAACAACAUAGAAAGAUUAGUACUUUUAAAAUAUUAUUUUCUGAUUUUUUACAAAAUCUCCCUUAAUAUAUAUUAAAAAAAGGAUUGGAGACCAACCAAGUCUCACUCAAUUUUGAAUUGAGAGGAAUCAUUCUGUUAUGUGGAAUCCGAAUCCAAGUGAUUUUUGAUAUCCUUUCAGUAGGCUACCCUCACAACCCUUUUGAUCUUCAACAAUAAUUCCAUUUCUUCCUUUACACUACUUCACAACAAUAAUCCAGAUUUCCUCUGCCAAAAAUUAAACAAAUAAUUAAUUUUCCCAAAAUUAAAAACAACAAAACAUAAAUAAUAANUAGUGAAUGACAAAUUAAAAUUUGAUGUUAUUAAUUUUUUUAAACUAAAUAAUAUCUUGAUAAUCAGUAACAAUAAUUAUGAUGUAUUAAUAUAAAAACAUAUUGUAUAUACAAUCGUUUAUGUUUAUACAAUUUUUGGCUUUAAAUGUGUUUUUUUUUUUAAAUUUAAAAUACAUUCUGAUUUUUAUUUGGUCUGUAAUAAAAAAUUACUUUUUGUUUCCUGUCUCUUUUUUAUACAUUCUGUUAAGUAUUUUCUGAAAUANNNNNNNNNNNNNNNNNNNNNNNNNNNNNNNNNNNNNNNNNNNNNNNNNNNNNNNNNNNNNNNNNNNNNNNNNNNNNNNNNNNNNNNNNNNNNNNNNNNNNNNNNNNNNNNNNNNNNNNNNNNNNNNNNNNNNNNNNNNNNNNNNNNNNNNNNNNNNNNNNNNNNNNNNNNNNNNNNNNNNNNNNNNNNNNNNNNNNNNNNNNNNNNNNNNNNNNNNNNNNNNNNGGUUAAAAUUGUUUAUUAAAAUAAUAAUAAUAAUAAUAAUAAUAGUAAUAGUAAUAAUAAUAAAGAAAAAAAUAUUAAUUUUGUAACAUAAGGUUAAAAUAAAUUACCUGCUAUGUUGUGUGCAAUCUCUUCAAAAUUUUCACUACCGUCAUGACAUAAAGACAAUCUGAUAAAUUAAUUAAGAAUUCAAAAUAUGCAUGACGCCAAGAAGGUAUUAUUAAGAUUGAGCCAAACACUCCCCAAAAGCUUAUAACAAAUCCAAUUGUCAUACUUAUAUAAUAUUCACGAUUGAAAAUCAAAUUGUCAUCCUCUUGAAAUUUAANNAUUGGUCCUUGUCUUGCCACUCCAUCAAUGCACAAUUUCUUUAAUGGUGGUCCACAGAGAUCAACAUUAUCUUCAUAUUUUGAUGCAUCGAAACUCUGUAAUUGUGUGCCAGUUGGAAUUUUUCCAGAUAAAUAAUUAUGUGACAAAUCUAACAUGGUGAGUCGAUCGAUUUGAGUAAGACUUGAAGGAAUAAAACCAACAAGUUGGUUUUGUGACAAAUCAAGAAAUUCAAGUGAUCUUAACUUUCCAACAUUUGAAGGAAUUUUUCCUGUCAAUUGGUUUCUUGAUAAAUUCAAUGACACCAAUCCAAAUAAACCCUCUAUUUCUUUUGGAAUUUCUCCUGAUAAUUGAUUGCUGGAGAGAUCAAUGCUAUUUAAAAGUGAUAAUCCCAUGUCUGUGAACAUUUGUUCUGAACCUUUCCACAUCAAGAUUGCAUUCAAAUCAUAUGAACUGCGACCUGAGGUAAAAUUAGUGCUGAAGGAAUAAGAAUGACGUUGAUAAUCUCUCAAAGAAGUCAUUUGAGCCAUUGAGGAAAAGUUUUUUAUACAUGUAGGAAUUUCUCCAGAUAGGUUGUUUUGCGAGAGAUCUAAGAGUUGAAUGCUUUUUAGAUAACAAAUUUGUAACGGUAAACUCCCACGAAAAUAGUUGCUUCUUAAGCUUAAAAAUUGCAACUGCGAUAAUUCGUUCCCGAUCCAAUUUGGGAUAGAUCCUGAUAAUCUAUUUUCUGCUAUGUCUAUCAUCACCAAUUGUGUGCAAUUCUUCAAGAUGGAAGGGAUUUCACCUGUUAAGUUAUUGUUUCUCAAUAACAAAACUUGAAGUUCAACGAGUGAUCCCAUUGAAGAAGGAAUCUCUCCUGAAAACUUGUUCUGACUCAUAUUUAAGUAAGUCAAUGACUUAAAUUGGGUCCAACAGUCUGGAAUUUGUCCAGAAAAUUUGUUAUUUGAAAGGUCUAAUUGGUAUAAAGUUUCAACUACACCACUAGGGCAUAAAAUCGAAAACGAAUUUGUGAAUUUAUUGUUUGAUAAAUCAAGAAAUAUUGAGCCUCGUAAAAAUGGUGGAACAUGACCUUCAAAUUGAUUUGAUGCAAGACUAAGAGAAUCAUAAUAAUUCUCUAUUGGCAAAUUUGGAAUCGUACCUUGUAAAUUAUUAUAUGAAAUAUCAAUACGCUUCUGAUUUGACAAUCCAUAUUUUGUCCAAAACCAUUUUGGAACGGUACCUGAUAUUCCACUAUUUGAAAUGUCAAGGGUGUCAAAUUGGUUUUGUUUCUCUAGCCAUUUGGGAAACAAUGGACCAAGCUUGCAAGACCUUAAUUCAAUAGUAUAUAAUUGAAAAGGCGGAGUCCAAUUUUGACUAAAUUCUAACGUCAGUGAGUUAUCUGACAACAUCAAUGUUGUUAACUUUGUCAUAUUAUAAAAAUGAGAGUCAGUUAACACACCUUUCAAAGAGUUUGACGUCAAGUAUAGUACCUCAAGUUCUGCUGGAAAUCGAAGAUCUUCAGAAAUUGUCCCAUUUAACUUGUUACUAUCAAGGUACAAUCCUUUUAAUGAUGGGAACAUUGUGGCGAGGUUGCUAGGCAAAGUACCACUAAUUUGAUUCAUACUCAGAUCUAAUUGUUGCAAUGAGUAUGUAUAACAUCCAGACAAAUGAUUAAAUAUCACUGUGAGAUCUUCACUCAACUUGUUGGAAGAUAAAUCCAAUAACUCCAAUGUACAUGUGUUUCCAAAUGAUUUUGGAACACCACCUUCUAAAGAGUUAGAUCCAAUUAACAACUGCUCCAAAUGAGAUGGCAAACUAGUCCCUUCAGGUAUCUUCCCACUUAAUUGAUUGUCAGAAAGAUCCAACACUUUUAAAUUUGAAAAUGCUGAAAGGUCAGGUACGGAACCUCUGAUUUGAUUGCUUGCCAAAUUCAAUUCUUGUAAUGAGUAUCUAGAACAUCCAGACAAAUGAUUAAAUAUGACGGUAAGAUCUUCACUCAACAUAUUAUAAGACAAAUCCAAUAACUUCAAAGUACAUGUGCUCCCAAAUGAUGUUGGAACACCACCUUCUAAAGAGUUAGUGCCUUCAGGUAUCUUCCCACUCAAUUGAUUAAGAGAAAGAUCCAACGUUUUUAAAUUUGAAAAUGCUGAAAGGUGAGAGAUGGAGCCUCUGAUUUGAUUGGAUGCCAAAAUCAAAUGUUGUAAUGAGUAUCUAACACAACCACUAGACAAAUUAUGAAGAAUUGACGAAAGGUCUUCAGUCAUAUUGUUUCCAUACAUGUAUAAUGAACGUAGGGUGCAUAUAUUCAUGAAUGAUUUCAAAUCCUCACCAUUGAACAGAUUUCCAGACAGGAAAAGGUGCUCAAGCGAAUUCAUGGCCAAGCCAAACUGAUUUGACGUAAUACCCUUCAAGAGGUUCCAACUUAGAUCAAGCUCAACAAGGUUGGAAGUGGUGUUUGACAGCCACUGGAAUAUCAUCGGUUGCGUGAAGGAGUUUUUAGAAAGUCUAAGGACAGAAAGGGAAGUAGAAAAAUUGAAGUUGGAAGGGUUGAAUGAAAGGAGGAAAUGAUCGGAAAGGCCACAUCCAAUUAAACUGAGUUCUCUUAGUUUUGGUAGCUUGGCAAUGGUUCGAAGCCAGCUAGGAGAACUUUUAAAAUUAGAUGUGUAAUCGAAGGAAAGAUGGGUUAAAGAAUUGAGAUUAUAUAACCAUUGAUCACUAGUGACAAUUUUGAGAGCACUACGAUAUCCUCCAAGAUAGAGUUGAUGCAAAUUUGAAAGGUUUCCUAGUUGGGAAGGAAUGUAUCCUCCAAAAGAAUUGCCACUGAGAUCAAGAUACUCUAACCGAGAGAGAUUUCCAAUUUCACGAUGGAUUGAACCAUUCAAAUAGUAAUUUCUUGAUAGAUUCAAAUAUUUCAAAUGAGAAAGAGAACUUAUCUGAGUUGGAAUUUGUCCGCUAAAAUAAGAUGAAGAGAGAUCAAGAUAUCUCAAGUUGGUAAGAGAGCCAAGAAACUCUGGAAUAUUAGUGUCUUGAAAAUCAUUGAAACUGAGAUUCAAAUACUGUAAGUGUCGCAAUUCCAUUAACGACUUGUGGAUCUCUCCGCUGAUGUAACGCCAAGAGACUUCAUAAUAACCGCCAAGAGAAAGAGAUUCACUAUGCUGUCCAGGAAGGUGGAGGCUUAUAAUAUGAGCGGUGAGGUUNNUGCAGCGAAUCCCCUCCCAUUGGCAACAGUCGGGAGUGGUCCAAGAGGAGAGCAUGCCGAAGUCAUCAACAAUGGCAGCCUUGAAUAGAAGAAGUGCUUCCCUCUCUUUUGGAAUGCAUCGGAUAUGGUGUUGUCCAUAAGCAACCUGCAACACCACACUCACCACAAACAUAAACAUCAUUACUUUUAGAAUAUUCAUGAUGAUGAAAAAGAGAGAGUGAAUAGUAUAGAAUUAGAUUGAUGUGUGUUGUGAACUUAGAACUCCCAAUACCCACAUUUAUACUCACAUUAAACUCCUUAAUUACCUAUUCUGCUGUUCCAAGUCGUCGUCGUGUUUGCCUGUUUUCCAUUUUUAUAUUCAUCGUAUGAACUAAUUUUUGUGGUCCAUACAUAACAUUAUUAUGCAUUUCAUUAAUGCAUGUAAGAUUUCAAUAAUUUUAAUAAUAUCAAUUGACUUGGAAGAUGACUUGGAAAAAGACUUGUGUAUUUUCAUUUUAAACGACAAUAUUAUAUGAAAAAAAAAUUAAAAAGUACUCUGAAAAUGCAUUUAGCAAGGCAAUUGUUUUUUAACAAAUUGUAAUAUUUGCAAUAGCUUCUUUUAUGAAUAGCAAGAUGGUUAAUUUGACAUAGAAAGAGUUCUAAUUAAAACAGUCCAACAGUUUACAUAUGAGUAACAAAAUAACGUUAUUUAUUUCUAUGUAGAACUAAAACAUAUAAAAUAAAUGCCAUUACAAAAGUUUUUAGUUUGCGCGUUUUUUUCUUAUAAAAAUUUGUGAAAUUAUUCUUGUUACUUUUGUUUUAUAAAUUUUUUAAGUUCUACGAAACAAAUUUAUGUAAAUUAUUAAAAUCUAGAUACGUAAUAAGUUCGCUAUGGUAAAUUGUCUUAGUUACAAAUUAUAAAGAAAUAUUGACAAAUCAAAAAGGAAACUUCCUUUUUUCUAAGACAACAAAAUAUAAAUUAAUUAAUAUUUAAGAAAACAACAGCAAUUCUUUGUUACUUUUUCAAACAUAAAAUUUGUAAACCUUGUGAAUUUCUGUAAGGACCUUAAAAUAUGUAUAUGUGUAAAUAUAUAUAUUAAAAAGGAUUGGGGUAGAAUCUGAAUUAAGUAAAAGGAGAAGGACCUUUUUAAUAAAAAUAAUCGAAAGCAGUUUCUAGCUUUCUGCCGCUUUCUGCCAACUUCUAAAAGGCAAAAAGCUCAUUUUCAUUUGAACGUUCUUCUCUUUAGAACUCCAAAUCCUUACCUUCUUUGUCAUUUCUCUACCCUCUUCACUAAUUCAGCCACUACAUUGUUGUUUAGGUGACGUCCCUACGCUCCCAGAGUUGAGAGCUUCAAUUUGAACCGAUUGGAUUUUCGAUUCUGAUCGGUAAGUAGUUCUACCCUUUUCCUCACUGUUUUGGGAAUCUAGGGCAAGCUACAUGUGCCUAGAGUACCCUUCUUUUCGUCUUUCCUCUGUCCAUUCUAGCUCUAAGAGCUGUUUUUUUCACCCCUUUGGUGAUCUGUAGGGUUUAGCUGCACCCUUGUAGUGAGAGGUGCCGUAGAGAACGCUACUGUGAAAUCGUACUUUGCUCUGUGCUUUGAGAAACCAAGUGAGGGGAGCUAGAAUAAUUAUGUAUAUUUGUUGUAUAAACUGUGUGCAUGAUAAAUUCUGAAACUGUAUGUUGUUUUGGAGUGUUACUUGACAUUUUGAGUAUAUUGUGUUGUAUGCAUUGAACUGUGUAUUUUGUUAUCUGUCUUGAGAUGUAUGAACUGAGGGGAUGAGUUAAUUUGCUAUGAUUGAUUGGGUUGGAAAUGCUGGGGUGUGUCAUCCGUUAUUAGAGCAAUUGAGAAAAAGGGGUUAAGUGAAAUUAUAUUGUUUUAGGCACUGUUUAGAGGAAGUGAGGGGGUGAAAAUUUGAGUCAGGGGUCUGAGAUAGAAUGGGGUUGUUAGGACAUCUUAGGCAAGUCAUUUGUGACUUGUUAGGUGCAUUAAACUGGUCUAAAACUUAUGCAUGGUGGUAGAUUUAGAAUUUGGUCAUCUAGUUGAACAACUUGGUGUUUUUAGGCAUGAAUUGAAUCUUAAUCAACUUAAAAUCGUAGUAAGAAUGUUUUAAAACAAUUAGAUACGUUUAAGCAAGCCUUAAUCACAAAUUAAGGGUCUUAGAAGUUGGCUAGAAGGUCUAAAAUAGGAAGAGAGGGAGGGAGAUGCCCGAAAUCUGCAGAACUACAUUCUGCAGAUUCUGUAGAGUCACAUAACGCAUUGGAUGCGCUAUGCGAAUUUCGCUGGAAGGGCCUCCCAUGUAGGCCCUUUUGCCUAGCGCACAAGGGGGGGUGCGUUGAGCGAAACAUGUUGAGUUCGCCUUGCGCCCUGGUGCAUUGCGCGAUCACCGCCAACGUUUUUCACUCUUUUUCUUCUUCUGUUUGACAUGUUUGAUGUUGUUUGACUACUUUGGUGAAUGUAUGUUUAUGUACUUGAAUUGGAUGGCUUGAUUGAGGAUGAACUGAACAUCUCAGGGAGAGAUGAUUUGGAAAAAUUAUAAAGAUGGUGUUGUUGUAUGUAUAACUGUUGGGAGCUUUGAAAUGGUGUGUCUAUCCCUACUCUCAAAGCAUUGGUCAUACUCAAAUAGAGAAGGACAGUGUGAGUGGUGAGAGUAGAGGGAGGUCCUUGUCUAUAGUCCUUGAGUUUAGACAUAGACAGAUUAGGGGGAUUUACCUUGCAUAGUGUUGGGGAUGGGCCAGCUAAACUAUGCAAGUGCAAAGACGACCAAUAGCUAGACAGUUAUACAAAAAUCCGGAUGAGUCGUGUUGAGUAAUUGAUGCAUGGUGUGAAUGGUAUGCCUUGCUUGUUCUUUUUAUAUGUAAUUAAGCAUGAUGACCUUGAAUGAUUGUACUGUAUGUAUGUUGUUUGUUUAUCUAGCUCACCCUUGCAUUUGUGUUGUAUGUUGCUUGGGUAUGCUUUCUCUUGCGAUGAUCAUCCAUUUGGAUGGGAGCAGAUGUGGUUGAGGAGGUCUCCUUGGAACAACUGCUGGAGGAUGUUGAUGCUACUGCUUAGUUCUCUUUAGGAUUUCACUUCAUUAUCUUAUAUUAUUUUGAGGCACUUAUUAGGUUAAUUUGAAAGACUUUGUUAUUAUUAAAAGUUUAAAUUAGACCAUUAUGGAUGAUUGUAAUCUUCUAAUUAAUCGCAAUUUGCACUCUAGCUGUUCUCUUUAUUUGAAUGAUGACACCUAUUAUAUGAUUAUAAUUGUUAUAUAUAUUGGGAUAUCACAAUUUCUACUGUAAAAAUGAUUUAAAAGUGAUAUUUGUAGACAUUUUCUAUUUUAUUUUCAUCAUUUUGUUUUGCAUGCAAAAUUACUAAAUAAACACGGGAUGGUAUAUUUUUAAUUUUAACUAUUUUUACGUUAUAUUUGAAUAUUUAAUUUCUAAGUGUUCAAUUUCCCGUUCAAAUCACAGUGUUUUUCUUUUUUGUGGUCAUAUAAACUUCAGGCUCACUAAUACUUUUCAUUGUUUGUCAUAUCAUACUUAUGUGAUGGGUUUACUUUACAAUUUUCCAAGUUCUUCUGGGGAAAAUCUCACAACACACUCAGAUGUUUUUUUUCUAAAAUUAAGUUUAGUAUUCAUUGAUAAUUGAAGGGCUUUAAAUAACCAUGAUACUUACAAUACUAUGGAAAUAAAAAUAAAAUCUGAAAAUAAAAUAUCAACCAUCUUGAAAAUAAAAUCUGUUUAAUUUAUCAUAAAAUAAUAUUCUACCUAGAUAAAUAGAAAAUCAUAACUAUGUAUCCCUAUUUUAUCUCUAUCAAAUCAAACUAAAUAUUACUAUACCCAAAACUUAUAAAAUAAGAUUUAAACAAAAUUAUUAAUAAAACCCUAAAAUUUUAGUUUAUCCUAACAAACUGCUCCAUAAACUUAAAGUCUUCCUUCCUUUCUUUCCAUGUGCAUCAUCCCACUCCGGGUUUGCUUCUUUCAAUCAAAUUUGACUUCUUCUUUAUCCUUAUGGCCUUCUUGUCUUUUACCUUGGUUGACCUCUUUAAUGUUUUGACUGACUUUGUUAUGCCUGAAUUCUCAAUAACCUUAACCAACUCAUCUCUGACCUUAGGCGAUUUUUCAACAAUCUUGACCGACAUCUUCAUCGGGUUCUUUUCAACAUCUUCAUCGGGUUCUUUUCAACAUCUUCAUCUUCCUCUUCGUCUGGUUCAAGAACACUAGAUGUUUUCUCUUGUUUCUCAAGAGCCGCCUUCUUCAGCUCCUCAAGCUCAACCUUCUGUUUAUUCAUAAUUUCAUUAGCUUCAUCUAGAAGCCUCCCUAUUCGUUGAAUCUUUUCAUCUUUUCCUUUGAGUUCUUUCUCCAGGUUUUCCUUUUCCACAGUUGUUGCAUCCUUUACCAAGAUCACUUCAUCCAUUGUUGGGAUCGGGCUCUCCAUGUCCACUACACACGAGCUCUUUGCCAUAAAAUUCCACACGCUUCUUCAGCAUCUUCAGUAACAAGAUUUGUCUCCCCCUUUGUCUCGGUCUUGCAAUACUUUGCAAUAUGACCAACCUAUCCACAAUUGUAACCCUUUCUUGAUCUACACUAGUUUGCAUAGUGGCCAUGCUUGUCACACUUAAAACACUUAACUCUUGAUCGGUCUCCUCGGCCUUUUCCUUGUCCUCGGUCACCCCAAUUCUACUGACCAGUUUGCUCCUCAUUAUCAUUCUAAAAAUUACCUCGGCCACGUCCACCUCGUCCUUGGCCUCCUCACUCUCUUCUGCUAGGACCUCGGCUUUGAAUAAUCCGAUAAUUAUUUGAGUCAAACUGUACCUGUAGUGCUUGAUCGUCGGGUUCCCUCUUUUUCUUUUUCUUCCUCAAUUAGUGGGCUUUUAAUGACCCAGCUAACUCCUCCACAGUGAGAGUUGACAAAUCCUUUGUCUCUUAAAUAGUGACCACGAUACUUUAGAAAUCAUCUGUCAGAUUUCUCAAGAUCUUUUCCGCAACCCGAUUAGGAGGAACCUCUUCUCCGUUCAUUCCCAGUUCGUUGGCCAUCUUCUACACUCGAGUUAUAAACUCUGAAACUCCCUCAUUCUCAUCCAUCUCCAUAUGUUCAAACUCUUUUCUGAGAGCUUGCACUCAGACCUGCUUCACGCGGGUAUCUCCUUUGUAUGCCACCUUAAAAAUUUCCCAUGCUUCUUUUGCUGACUUUGCAUUAGCUAUUUUUUCGAAUCCAGAUUCAUCCACUGCAUUAUACAUAAAGUACAAAGUUGAUUUGUCUUUCACUCCUGUCUUUUUCAAUGCAGAGUCUGAUGCUCAUCAUCCGCGUGUUCAUUGUACCUGUCCUCCACUAUGUCCCAUACAUCUUGGGAUCCAAGAAGAACAUUCAUGUGCAAAGACCAAUUGUCAUAAUUGAUAUUUUCCGACAAUUGUGGCACACUCAUACCAUUGACUACCUUCGUCAUCUCUCACAAAAAAAAAAAAGAUAAGCACUCACUUUUUCUCUCACGGUAUUUGACUCUCUGCUUUCUCUCUUUUUCUCUCUCAGUAUUUAGAGCAUAAAGCUCUAUUACCCCUAAUGGGAAAAUCUCAGGAUACAUACUCAGAUAUUUUUCUAAAAUUGAGUAUAGUAUUCAUUGAUAAUUAAAGGGCUUUAAAUAGCAGUGAUACUUACAAUAUUACGGAAAUAAAAAUAAAAUUUAAAAAUAAAAUAUCAAUUGUCUUAAAAAUAAAAUAUGCUUAAUCUAUCAUAAAAUAAUAUUAUACCUAGAUAAACAGAAAAUCAUAACUACCUAUCCCUAUUUUAUCUCUAUCAAAUCAAACUAAAUAUUACUAUACUCAAAACUAAUAAAAUAAGAUUUAAACAAAAUUAUUUAUAAAACCCUAAAAUUUAAGUUUAUCCCAACAGUCCUCACCCUAAAUGUCAUUUCAACUCCUAUAUAAUACUUAAUUAGUUAAAUACAUCAUUAUCUAUUAUUGUGGAUUAAUGUUUUUCUUUUUAAAAUUAUAAUAUCUAUUCAAUUUACAUAAAGUAAUAACUUAAUUUACAUUAUGCAUAAAAUAAACUAAAAAUUACAAAGCAUCUACAAUGAAAUUGUUAUCAAAUGAAAUGUUAUUGGUUUUAUAGUAUGAACACAAGUUUAGUAUUUGUAGAAUAAAUGAAAUCGUGAGAAAAGUUUUUGAUGGAAGAACUGCUUCGAGAAGUGACUGAAGGCGCGAUCUGGACUCCUCGAGGCUUCCUCCGACGAGUAAUACGCAGCGAAAAAUGUUAACAACCUCUAGAUCAAGAGAGAAAUCGGAAGAAAACUGAUUUGAAAGGUUGAAAAUCCUAAUCGCGAAGAGAGAACAUGAGUUCGAGUGCGAACUCGCCUAAACAGAGAUCAGACUCUAAAAGGUUGAAAAUCCUUCGGGCAGGCGUUGUAGGGUGUUAAUACCUUCCCUCCACGUAACCAACUCUCGAACCCAAUCUUUGGUUUUCGUGGACCGUGCUUUAUCAUUUUAUGGUUUUUCCGUAGUUUUCCAGAAUAAACUAUGGUGGUGACUCCAAAACUCUUUUUCAAAAAUUGUUUUCUCUUUUGGAUCGUCGUCCCGUGCGAUUCUGGUUGCGACAGAGAGAAUGAGAAGUUACCAAAGAAAUAAUAAAGUGUGCAACUUUCAAGCUAACUUUUUUUGUUUAGGUCUAUGUAAGACUUUUUCUGUAAUUUUUUUUAUAAAGCUAUAAAAUUACAUGCGGAUUUUUCCGUAUGUAAAUUAUAUACAGAUAUUACAUACAGAUUUUUCCGUAUAUAAUUAUAUACAGUUUUUUCCGUAUAUAAUUAUAUACGGAUAUUACAUACGGAUUAUUCGUAUGUAAUUUAUAUACGGAUAUAUCCGUAUAUAACCUUAUCUACACCCUUCUUAUAUACGGAUUUUUUGUCGUAUGUAAUCCGUAUAUAAUACCACUUUAUAUACGAAUUUUGGAGGUUAUAUACGGUGUUUGGUCGUAUGUAAUAGUGAUUUUUCUUGUAGUGUAUUUGGAUGGUUGUUUCUAGCCUGCUCCAAGCUCCACACUGAGGUCUUGUUGCUGCUAUUUGCACCAAACCAAGAAUAGCAAAGAUCCAAGAAGAACAUAGCAAACACAAAUUGACAACUGUUACGUGAAACACAAUAGCAGCGUCAAAUUUAAAAUUUUGCACAUUGAGCCAACAACAAUCUUAUCUAUCUCGACUGGUGUAAUUAAAUGAAGAUAACAUCUUAAACAAGAGAUAAAAGCUGAGAUAGGUGCAAUGAUAAUUCAAAUUGGACACUUCCUAACCAAUGGUCUUUGCAUCUUGUUCAAACAACAAUAAUAACAUAUCAACAACAUCAAACAACCGAUAAUGUGGAAAGUGACUUAUCCAAACUGGUCAAAACAAAGUUGUAAUCUAAUUCAAAAUCAGUGCACUCAAAUCAAAGAAUGAAAGAUUGCUGGAAGUGAAUUUCUCAAUAAAAGAUAAGUGUAGUAGUAUGUGCAGUAACAAUUUUCAAAAGCCAAGCAAGAACAAGUCAAAUAAUUCACUCAUGAAAUUAGGAAUUCGAAAUUAAAACAAUGUUGAUGCAUAAAUGAAGAAGUUCAAAAUAAAUGCAAGAGCAAAUUAAAAUGAAUCCAAACACAACUGCUCUAGUUUGAUCACUCAAACUCUUUUGCCUGCACAAUGAUCAAUCUCAAAAUAGUUAGCAACAGUUAAGUAAAACUGAUUCUCUCAUACAAAUGUGCCAAGGAGAUUAGGCUAAAUCAGCCUCACAAAACUCACAACACUCAAGGCUUCUCUUUAAAAAUUUAAAGCACACAAAAUGGAAACGUUUGGAAGAGAGAUUCUCCCUUGGCAGUACAAAGUUGGAGAGUCUUUCAGACCACCACCACCUAAGAUGCUACCAAGCACACAACCUUUCAAAUUCCAAAAACCAGAAUGUACAACUUCUUAAACAAGAACAACUAGGCUAAGAUGAAUGUUAUGGAUAGAACAGGACAACCACCAACAAAGUAAGCACCAGAUAAUUAAAUUGGCAGCACAGUAGAUCUAGUACUUAAGACAAACUCUAGAUUAGAUUAUAAAAGCAAACAAAGCUCAAUUAGGAACGACAGAUAAGAGUUUACACGUGUGAUGUAGACACAACCUUAGACAGCCAACAAGACAAGCAAGAAAUAAGCUAUUUAGAACAAAAUGCACACAAAUUGAACCUACCAAUAGCUCUAGAACAGAUUAAAAAAACACAAGAAAAAUCCAAGCAAGUUGAAUCAUACAAGACCAAACAGAUUUUCAACUGAAAUAGAACAAUGCAUUGCCAAUUGCUCUAAAAUGUUCACUCCAAUCAAAUUAAAUGAAUCAGAAAUAGGAGAUAAACAUCAAGAGUGAAACUGUGUUGUGAAUUGCACUUGCCACUUGACUCUUUAUGUGGUUUUGUCAAUACUUCUUUUCUAAUUGCUUUUUCUUUUCAAAUCACAAGAUCUCAUGCUUUUAUCCUUUCACUUUCUUUUGCUAAUAUUCACAACAUAUAAUUUGAUUUCUAUUUCAAUUCAACUUCACAACAUAUGAGUCAUGAACAAUUGAUUCAACACAAAUAAAACCACAGAAUUGUUAACAAUACCAAAUGGAAAACACAAAUGACUCUAGGAUAUAAUGAAACUAGAAGUUGAGCAAUAAACUAAUACCAAGCUGAAUAGACACACUCAAAAACAAUAACACAAAAUUCAAAGAGAAACCAAUUUCGGUGUAACUGGCAAAAUAGAGACUGAUGUUGUUGUACGAUCUUGCACCCAAGCUCAAUGCAACAUUUCAUAGCUUAAUUGGUGUGAAUUUGCUAUUCACAAGCAUAUUCAACUUUCAGCUCAUAGAAUUUCAAAAGUGCAAUACAAUUACAUGUAAUGGACAUCAUUAAAACUCAAGAUAUCUUUAGAUAAAUGAAAUGACAUUUAAGCUGCUGUUAAAUUCUGUCAUCAAGCUCAUUCAAUUGAGUAUCACAGCUUAUGAUGAUGGACAAAUCUUACUCAAAGCAAUAAACACAAUUGAGUCACAGUUAAACUCAGAUUUAAUUGACAAUUAAUUCAAAACACAAGACUAGAACAUAACAGAAAUGGAUUUUCAAAUUAAAAGACUCAAACAAGAAGAUUCACCAAAAAAAUGAACAAAUUAUAAUGACUCAAAGGCACAGGACAAGCACAUGCAAUUAUAAAAUCCUAAACACAGAGAUUUGAAUCUCAAACAGAGAAAAUAAACUCAACAAAUACUUUAUCAACACAAGAGAUUGAAGGAAGAUAAUGAACAACGCGAAAAUGGAGAGAAACAACACAAGAUACUCAGAACCAAAAUCAAACAAAAAAUACAAAACUAGAAACAGAGACAGAGACGCGAAUCAAAACAAACUGAGAAUCAAAUCGAAACAAAACAUACCAAAUCAGAUAAGACCGAAUCAAAACAAAACACAAAACAAGAAGUGAGAUACUUACCUUUGACGCGUGAACGAAACCGAAGCUCUGAUGACCAAAUGAUGGAAGAGUUGUUUCGAGAAGUGACCGAAGGCGCGAUGCGGACUCCUCCAGGCUUCCUUCGACGAGUAAUACGCAGAUGAAAAUGUUAACAAUCUCUAAAUCAAGAGAGAAAUCAGAAUAAAACUUAUGUGAGCGAUUGAAAACCCUAAUUGCGAAGAGAGAACACGAGUUCGAGUACGAACUCGUCUAGAAAAAGAUCAGACUCAAGGAAACCCUAGUUUGGUUCGAUUAAAUGGUGAGAAUAUGAGUUGAAUCGGUGGAAAAGGUAAUUUAAUCGGUGGAAGAUGGUUCAAUCAGUAGAAAUUGGAAAAUAAUCGGUGAAAUCGAAGGGUAAAGUGAAAAUGAUGAAGAAACCCUAAGUUUGAAUGAGGAUGUUCGGUGGAAUGGUUUGUAAUGGCUGAGAAAUGAAGGUAGAAGGAGAUUCUAGGAAGAAGAAUUGCUUACCCUGAUGUUGAUGUGCUUGAUUGGGAGAAAUCCUAACAGAGGAAAAUGUGAUUGAUGAUGCAUGGAUGGAAAGUAAAGCGCGAGAAUGAAUGUGAAAUGAAGAAUCCUCUCUUUGAUGCGGGAAAGAGUAAAUGAAAAAUGAUGUGGACGGAAGGCUGACACGUGGUUAAGGAUACUGUCACUGUGCGAUGACGCUGAUGCUUGAGAAAAGGAAGACAACGUCGUGAAGGUGGUGGUGUGUGAUGAGAGAGAAGCACCGUGAGAAAAAUGGAAAAUGAAAGAAUGAGGUGUUCUUGGAAGGUGGCUAGAGGGGGUGUUUGGACUCUCUAGCCUGUGACUUUGAAGAGAGUACAGUUUCUGAAUUAGAAAAUUCUAUUCUCAUUUAUCUCAAAAGUGGGGAAUACAAGAGAGGAUUUGGGUAUUUAUAGUAACCCAUGUUCCUUACAAGCUAAUACACGUAUACAAUAAAAUGUAAAAAAUCGAAAAAGAGGAAUAAAUGAGGCAGGAUUCCAUCAGUUUUAGGGCAAUAAUUUUAUUCCAAUGGACUUAUCCGAAGACUUUUGAAAAGAAAGGUAACUCACACUUAUAAUUUUUAGAUUAAAAGAGAAUUCUAUAUAAAAAAAUAGUGAUAAUAUUAUAAAUGAACAUUUGAAAGAUAGUAAAAUUAAAAGAUCCCAUAGAAUCAAGAGAGAUGAAAAGAUCUGAGAUGAAAUUCCAGACAAGUUUGUCCAGAUUCCAAUGGAAUUGAAUUUGCAUGGACAUAGGUAAAAUGAACUCAAUCUGACCCAUGUUUGCUCAAGUUAGUUUUGGCUUAAUGUUAAGAUGAGACAACCAAAUAUCAGUUGAGCCACAUAAACCAAUAAAUCGUGAUUUUUUAAAUAAGUGUUAUUUUUGUUCUAAUUUGUUUUUAAAAUAAUUUUGUAAUAAAAUAUUUUGGAAAAUAAAUAAAAAUUCAAAACAAAAUAUAAAAUAUUGGGUUUAUUAUCCACAAACCUACGCUAUCUAUUGGUUCUAUUAUAAACAAAAAACUAUAAACUAUUAAGAAAAAUAUGACAAAGACAAAGGUUUCAAAAAGAAUAUUUAUUACGUUAGUGUAUGGAUAAAAACUAUUGGUACAAUAAUAUUUCAAAAUAUAAGCGUUGAAUUGUCUAGUACGUGUCAUGACAAGACAUUGUUUUAUAAGACAAUAUAUACAAUCAUAACAUAUAUAUCAUAUUUGUGCCUAUAAGCAUGUACGUCACCAUAACAUAACCUAUAAGCAUGUACCAAUUACAUGUAAACACCAAUCUUCCCUAACUUCAAUUAUUUGAUUGUCACGAUAUUUUUGAUAUUUGCAACUUGAAAAAUACUGUAAGAAAGAAAAAUAAUAUAAAAUUAGUCAAUUAAAUUUUUACUAUAAAUUAAUUAUGACAAUAAAGAUAACUUACAUCAGUUGGAAUUGUCCCUCAUUCACAGUAUGUGAUAAUUUUCUUCAUAUAUCAACAUACGUAGUACCCAUAAUCAUUAUCGUUGGGUUGUUUUGGAUACUAAAAAACCAAAAGUAGAAAACAUCUUUAUAAUUUGAACAUAACAACAAACCAAAAAUCCAGGAAACUCCAAACACAUUCAGUGCAUGGUAACAAACAACUAUAUACCAUAUACAAUUUAAAUUCCUAAUAGUAAAUCAUUAUUUCAUUACAAUCGUACACUCCUCCAACUAGUUUCACAAUAAUUCAAGUUAUUCACCUAACCAGUACAAUGCAACACGGAUAUAAAUCUUCAACCAUUCAAUAAUACAAGUUAUUCAUUUAACCAAUACAGUGUAAGCAACAACAAUGUCACUAGUGCAGUCAAGGGAAACGACAAUGGUUGUUUUCGCCCAUGGACAACGGUUCCUGAACCGAGGCAUAUACAAGCGAGGUAAAAGGGGUAGGCUUUAUGCCUCGGUUCAAAACCGAAGUAGUAGGGUUUUUUUUUUCUUCUUUUUUGAAAAACUAUUUAAAAUAUGACCAUUAUGACAGUUAAGACUUAACAUGAAAACAAUUUUCAAUAUGUACCAAAUUUAACUGAUUAAGUAAAUUGUGUAAUCGAUUAAGUAUUACACUUAAGAAAUUCUUCAAAACUUUUUCUCCUAAAAAACACAACACUGCACUCUUCAAACAGGUGUUAGUAAAGACAUGAGUUGUAAUCGAUUAUGCAUAUAAUGUACUCGGUUAAAACUUGUUGUUCAUUACAGUUAAGCAUUAGUUGAUAUCUGAUGAGACUAAUUGAUUACAUAAACACUGUAAUUGAUUACAUCAUACAUAUAUGCUUUGUGCAAGUGGUUUUAACAUUUAAAAACAUGAGUAUGCAUACUACAUAUAUAAACACAUGUAUGAACAUACUAAGUAUGCAAAUCAAUUACUUCAAGCAUGUUUGUAAGUGCUUUGAAACAUAUAGAAACAUUUUUGUUGUUCUUAUAGAAACAUUUCUGCUAUUGUCAUCAUAAAAAACAAAACAAACAGGGGAUUGGGUUUACAUUGCUUCCCCUAUCAACACUUUCAUAAAAAAAACAGUACCAAUACAAGAGAGUUUCGAAGGGUUGCAUAUUUGCUUCAACAGUUUAGGAGAUUUAGGUCCUCAUAAUGGAUGGAAAGAAUACAUACAAGAGUCAUCAUCUCUUAAACUUCUAAUAAUAUUCUUUAAAGUACAUAGGAAAGUGUAUGAGAAACUAUCCAAAAGUCUCUCUCUAAGAUAUAUCCAGAAGUCUCUUAAAAUAGAUGAGCAACUAUGUUUUUAUAAACUUUGUAGGGUGUGGCUUUAGAGAUAAAAUUGUGCCUCCAACUAUAGAGGUUUCCUUCCAAAGUGAGUUUACUUUGUAACUCAGGCCUCGUGCUUUUGGUAUUAUAUCCUUUGAGAUAACUUUUUAAGAAGGUUACUUUGUGGCUUAGCCUCAUGUUUAAUGUUUGAGGUUUUCCUGCAAGAUGAGUUAGCCACAUCUAUAUGGCUCAAGCCUCAAGAUUACCGUUCAACUAGGCCAAAGUCCGUUUUGUCCAAAAUUGUUUAGAAUUCUUCCCUUUUCUUUAUUUUUCUCUUUUAUCUAUAUGUAGUCAUCAAAACCUGUAAAAACAAGUCAAAUUGAAAUAUUUUAUACAAAUAUUUAACAGAAAAAAAAAAGAUAGGUGUCAAAUUGAUAUUAAAAUUAACUUAUAUAAUAAUAUCCUUGAUUGUGUUGUAAAAUCUUUCUCAAAUAUAUUUUCAUUAGUUUUUGUUCAUAAGUCAUCAAUAUGAAGUUAUUCCCUCGACAUACUCAAUAACUCAAUCUAUAACGCUUAAAGUUUCAUAUAAUUAGACAUUGGUAAAAUAUAAAAUGGUGCAAAAUAAGUAAUUUGCGUUACAAUACUGUCUUGACACUCUUGUAUUCGCCUUCGCUUUGUAUUAUAUUUUUUAAAAGGUUUAAUACCUAUUUUGGUCCCUCCUUUGGGAGGGUUUGUUCAAAGUGGUCCCUCCUUUUUUCAAAAGUUCACUUUAGUCCUAGUUUUCGCAAAAACUGUUCAAGUUGGUCCUUUUUGGUAACAGCGUUAAGUUCACUAACGACAGAGCUGCCAGGUGUGUAAUGUUUGAUGAUGUGGCAUUGUAAGUUGUUUUAAAAAAUAAUUAAUGAUGAUGUGUAAAUAAAUAUAGUUAGGGUAAAAUAAGAAAAAAUGAAUUAGGGUUUUUGAACAAAGGACUGUUCCGUUUCGUUCUGUUCUGUCCUAGAUCUUGAACAACUCUCUUCUGUAACAUCUUCAUGUUUCUACAAUGAUCCACUUAUAAACUUAUCACCCUAUAUCUAUCUUUCUCUUCCAACUUCACGCCUCUCUUCACACCUUCAACUUCUUCCUUCAGAUUUCUAAUUCUCUAUAACACGCCACUCUUUCUUCCAUGGAAGCCACCCUUUGACCCCUUCAGUUCUCCAUGACAUUUGGUUUUUCUUUUUUUAAUUUAUUCUGUCAAACUUGUCGAGACAAAGCUAUUUAUUGACAACAAUUUAGAGGUAUUUGAAUUGGUCAGUCAGCAAAAUUGGGACUCAAAAUCAGAAACUGUGGGCGACUGGGAUUCUCUUUCUCAAUGGAAAUAAAAUUUGUAACUACCACUCUGAGUUUUCUCAGAAUUACUGUGAACAGGAGUGAUCAUAUAUAUACUUUUUAAGGUAAUAAAUAGACUCAUAAAAAUGCAACUGAGGUGAUUUUUGAAUUCAGAAAUGAACUCUUUUUUUUUUAUCUGUAUCCUCUUACGAUUUUUUGUGAUAAAAAGGAACGCUCAAUUUGGGAAAAUUUACACUUGCAGUGAGUUGAUGAGAGAGAUGAUUACAUUCAUGGACUCGAAAGAGAAUUCGAAGGAGGCGGAGAGGUAUUUGGAUCCUCAGCUAUGGCAUGCGUGUCCAGCUUUCUGGUUUCGGAAAAGGAUUGCAAAUCCAAUCAAGAUGAACCCUAAUCCCAAUUGCCAGAAAAUCCCAGUCAAGAUGAACCCAAAUCCCAAUCAAAAUCGCAGAUUUUACCCAAAUUUACUCCUAAUUCAUUUUUUUAUUUUACCUUAACUAUAUUCAUUUACACGUCAUCAUUAAUUAUUUUUUAAAACAACUUACAAUGCCACAUCAUCAAACAUUACACACGUGGCAGCUCUGCCGUUAGUAAACUUAACGUCGUUACGAAAAAUGACCAACUUGAACGGUUUUUGCGAAAACUAGGACUAAAGUGAACUUUUGAAAAAAAGGAGGGACCACUUUGAACAAACCCUCCCAAAGGAGGGACCAAAAUAGGUAUUAAACCUUUUUAAAAUUAAUAUCACAUAUAGACGGCUUGACCCUUAAAGAAAUCAAUAUUACACAUAGCACGACCUAGUCAUGGUUGCUUUUUAUUUGUUUUUCUCAAUUGUUUGAAAACGCAUUAGCAAAACCUUUAAUCUCAUUACUCUCUUAAUCAUAUUCCUUCUCUUCCACUGCUCCUUUUGUCGUCCCAAGAUGCUGCUGCCAACGUUGAUUCCAUAUGAAUUAACUUCUUAGGAAACUUCUUCAUAAUUUGUUACAAGCAAAGGUGAUGAUGUAUUCUUGGAAAUACUUUGGAAAUAUUAGUUCCAAUGGCUAAGUCAUGAUCUAUUAAGAUAGAUACAAAAUUUUUCUAAUCCAUUGCCUCUGACCAAGUAUGAAACUAAGCAUGACAUGAUUUUAGUCAUUGUUCAAAUAUUUAAUAAUCCAAUUGCUUUUCAUGUCACCUCUUAGGAAAAUUUAAGCACUUUGUUAUCCUAAUCUUCUUCAUUCUACAAUUUUUCCUUUUGUAUUGACCUUCUACAACAUACUAAUAUGGAUGUCUUUUGUUUUUCUUUGAUUUAACACGUAUUCCAAAACCAUUCUUCUUCACAAAUCUGCACUGCAAAGUUUUCUAUCUUUUUUUAAUAAACUCAAACUCCAUCCUACACAUAAUUAAAUAGACUUUCAAGAGAGGAAGAAAAAAUAACUGCACAGGUAAAUGAAGAGGAAAAAUUGCUACAUAUGUUGGUUCAUGCAAUAAAUCUUUACCACUAAUUCACAUUGGUAAUUAUUAAUUCUGACGUAUAGUUUCUGUUUUAAAGCAGUAUGUUAGUUCCGUAAUCUAGAAGUCAAUAAAAAUCCAUAAAACAAACAAAAACAAAUUGCUCAAUUAGAAUUGACGUAUUCAAACAACUUAAUAAAAUGUGUCGGUUUACUCUGCGCCCAUGGAUUUCGUUUGAUUAAAAAUUUAAAAUAGUUUAAUUACUUUGACUUGAAUAUUGGAAUUGAUUAGAUUAUCUUAAUAUCAUAUAUUAAGAAUUUAAUUUUAUUCAUUACGUUCUCUUGGUAAACAUUGUCAUGGAUGAAAUAUUGUUCCUUGCAAUAAUUAACUUAUUCACAUAAGGUAGCCCAUAGAGACCCAUUUCUCUCAUUUGCAAUGUAAAUAAUAAGUAAUUUGAACUGGAUUGUAUAAAGUCAUAGUGCUUCAAGGAAGUAGCCAACUAGCAAACUAACGGAACUUAUUUCAAGUCAUAUAACGACUUUUUCAACUUCAAAAUUAAAUUCGGGUAAGUGGUUUUAAAACUUCAAGAAACUUUCAUGUAUACUUCCUUAACCAAAUCACCAAAAAGAAACACCUUAUGUACAUUUGUUUAGUAAACAUUCCAUUUUUUAAUUAUCGCCAUUUGCCAAGAAGAUACUAUACCGUCAUCAUUUAUGUCACUCGAACAACUGUUUCAUCAUAGUCUAUUAUUCUCUCUCUAACUAUGUCUUAAUAUAACAAGUUUUGCUUUUAAACCCAUUAUUUUUUUUUUCUUUUUUGGAUUUCUUCUUUGAAUAUAAUAGGUAUUCUUUGGAUUUCUUGUUUUUUUCAUUAUUUUUUUAUUAUUUCUAUUUUUGGCGAAAAUAAUUAUUUGUUUAAUUUUUGGGAGAGGACAAUACGGAUUAUAGGUGUGAAUAUGUGAAAAAAUGGAAUUGUUUUUGAAGAGUUCAAGGGUUGUGAGGGUACCAUGUUCAAAGAAAAAAAAAACAUGAGAGGAAAGAGGAAGAAUUAAUAUGUGUUUGUUUCUUGCAAUAAAUCUUUACUUCUAAUUCACAUUGGUAAUUAUUAAUUAAAGACUAGAAAAUGUCUUUCAUAAUAGAUAACAAUUUUAUGAAGACAAAAUUCUGACGUAUAUUUUCUGCUUUUUAAGAAGUAUGUCAGUCCCGUAAUCUGGAAGUCAAUAAAAAUCCAUAAAACACAAAACAAAUUGCUAAAUCAGAGUUGACGUAUUCAAACAACUUAAUAAAAUGUGUCGGUUUGCUCUGUGCCCAUGGAUGGUCAUCUUUAAUUCAGUUAGUAGUUAAUGCAUCACUCUCUCGUUUGAUUAAAAUUUAAAAUAGUUUAAUUAGUUUGACUUGAAAUAUGGAAUUGAUUAGAUUAUUCUAAACUGAUAAACACUUUUAGUUUCUCUAAUUAAGAUGCACGUCUUAUCUUAACAUCAGAUAUUAAGCAUUUAAUUGUAUUCAUUAGUUUUUCUUCGUAAACAAACUUUUUCAUGAUAUAAUUGCAUCUUAUGUAAUUAGUAACCCCAAAUCACCAAGUAAAUGUUUGAACCAUUUUAAAUCACAUGAAGUCGUUGCCACAUAGUGGUAUUCAACCUCUAGCCUCUUUAGAAGAGCGAGAUAUUAUUGAUUAUUAUUUAGGUUUCCAAUCUGGAGAAGAACCAAGAAGCACCACCCAAUUAGUCAAAGAACAUAUUGUAAGUGGACAAUCCACCCAAUCCAAAUCACACCAUCAUGUAGUUCUAGUUUUCUAGCAAAAGUAUAAUACUUAUCCUAGAUGUUUCAAGAAAUAUCUAAUAACCCUUAACCUAAUGCCCUGUACAAGGUUUUUGCAUAAAUUGAGAUUAAAUGUUAAUAGAAUAAGCAAUAUCAAGUCUAGUCAUACAAAAAGUAAAUUAAUCGUCUAAUCGGUCUUCAAUAGGAUUCCAGAUUUCAAGAGGUGUAUUAGAAGUCAACGCUAAGUUAUGGUUUUGUUCCACUAGAAAAUCGCAAGUUUGACACCCAAUAAACCUAUGUUUGCAAUAAUUUUCAAUGCAUAUUUUUGCCGAUCAAGGUAAAUUCUCACCCAAUUAUGGCCUAUCUCUAACCUUAUAAAAUAUUUUAAGAGACCAAAGUUCUUCAUAUGAAAGUUGGAACCUAUGUAAGGUUUAAAAAUUGUCAGGGAUGAAAUAUUAUUGCUAAUAAUUAUUUAAGCAUCAAUUUAGUAGCAAAAUCAACUCUUUUCCAGCUGAUAACUUGCUUAAUCCUCCAUUUUAUCUUAGUUUUAUGAAUAAUUGUGUUUUGGGCUACUUUGAUGUAAUUUCAUCUAUAAUCCCCUUAUUUUGUAGCUAAUAAUGUGAUUAGAAGAACUUGAAGAAGUAAGCAGAUCUGCAGAAAAAGAAAAAGAUGCAGUGUAAAAAGCCAGGCUGAGGGCCUAGGUCAGGGGCCUUGAGCGCCCGCGAGCCCCUCCAAGGGCGUUGAGCACCAUCCACAUGCCACACAGCACACCUGGACGCCCCAUAUAGGGUGCUAAGCGCUAGCGACAAUUGCUUAUGUGGCACUUUUGAUUUUUUUAAACCUAAAACGUGAAGGGUUUGGGGUCUUUGGUUCUUUGUAGGUGCAAUUCACUCAGAGGAGAGCUUGGAGGGCUGUUAAGGUUUAUGGAAACACUCCCUUCUUCCUUUUUGGGUUUUUCUUCUUCUUCCAUGGUCAUGUUGUAACCUCUAAGGCUCUCCAUGAAAAUGGAGUGUCAAUCCCAUCUUGUUGGGAUUAGUUGUAGCCUAUGAAUUCUUAUGUAAUGGAUGAUUGAUUUGAAUUUAUAUAUACCUUUUUUUUAUCAAUUUCUAGUAUUCUUGUUUCCAAUCGUAAAGCUUGCAUACAAUGGGGACGUAAGAUGGAACCUAAAACUGAAACAAGAGUCCUUGUGGUCAUUGAUUUUAGGGGUGGAAAAUGAUUCACAUGUUGUCUUAAGAUCCUAGUUCGUAAUGUGGGUUUCCUUGUUAGAUUGUCCAAGGGAUUGGAGUUUAAUAGGGAAAACCUAGACUCUUUCACCUAAGGGAUUAGGGCUAGAGUGUUUUAAUGGAUUGACUUUAGUAAAUUGAUGGAGAGGAGAUGAAUUUCAUGUAUUUGAACAUGCUUUAAAUAUCUUAUGCUUCUUUCAUUGAAUGUUAGUGAUAUUCUCUUCUUUGUAAUGCUUGUUAUGUUUUGGUCAUUCAUAGCUUGAUGAUUGGAUUUCUUUGUUAUUGGGAAAUACUUUCGAACCAUGAUCUGGAGGACUUCACCCAUAAGAAAUAUUAUCUAGGGAUAGAGAUAAGACAUUUGGUUGUCUUAAGCUUCUUUUCUCAAUGCAAAAUUGGUUAUUAGGGAUUCAAGGGACGUUUGGUCUAAUAAUAAAGGCUAGGAUUUUUAUGCCAAGGAUUGGGUUCUAAGUAAUUUAGUAAGGGACAUUAACAUUCCAAUGAAGAAGAUGAGUUCUAAUAUGCAUGAAAGUGAAUUAGGUAAAAACUAACCUUAACAUUGCCAUAUCAUACCAAUUCUAGUCUUUUCUGUUCUCAGUGCCUUCAAUACCAAAGUCCAACAUUGUAAUUAUUCAGAAUUUUAUUUUACUUGCACUUGCCUUUUUAUAUUAACUAGUAUUACACGAAUCUCUUGGGAAACAAUACUUGGUCUUACCAUUUUAUAUUACUUGAACGAUUUGGUACACUUGUCAAAAUCUUAACAGAGACAUAUAUGUAGAAAACCAUAUCCACAAAUGUCGUUGACUCAUCGAAUUUGGUAAGAUGAACAUUUUAUAACUAACAUCUUAAGCCAUUAUAAUUAUAAGUUUACUCAAAUUGUUCAUUGUGUAGAUAUUUGAUAAUGUGUGUACAAUGGAGCAAGAGUUCCUAAAGGAUGUUAGGUAAAUUCUCAUUCCUUUUAAGUGUUUAUAGAUGAUGUUAGGUAAAUAUUAGAUGUAUUCAUUAUACAUUGAGGUUAGGAACUAUUAUUUGAUGAGUAAAUAGUAGGAAAUAUAGUGAUUAUUUUGUUCGUUAAUGCCAAUGAGUAUAAAAAGUAACUUUUUAUACUAACACUAACUAGUAUAAAAAGUUGUAUUUUUUUAUAUCGAUUAGGAUCAUAACCGGUAUAAGAAGUUUGGAUCAUAUAUACAUUUAUUCCUCUCUUAACAAACUUUUUAUUCCCUUUUCAGAAUUGAUAUAAAAAAUAGACUUUCUGUACUCAUUCCAGAAUUGGUAUAGAUAGUCGAAUACUUUCUAUACGUCUACUUUUAUAUACUGAUUCGAAAACGAUAUAAAAUUUUUUAGAGUAGUAUAAAAAGACAUUUUUGCACUAGUUGAUAAAUUCUCAUUUUAAAGUUUUAAUUUAGUUUUUAAAAAAUAUAUGAUAGUUGAAUUCAUCUCUCUUAAUAUAUAUAUAUAUAUAUAUAUAUAUAUAUAUAUAUAUAUAUAUAUAAUUGUUUAUAUAUUUUUAUUAAUGUUUUGAAAUUUGAUGAAGUUAAAUAUGAUUGAUUUUACAUGUUAAAUAUCUUAAUUAAAAUCAACAAUUAAAACUUAAUAUCUAGUAUUUUUAAUCUAAAUUAUAUUUUUUGAUGCAUAUCGUACGUCUUUCAAAUAACACAAUAUCAAAAUUUAAUCGUUUAAAUUAAUUUUUAUUAUAACUUAAGUAUAAAAAAAAUUCUAACAAAUAAAGAAGAAACUAAAAAUGCGAACUCUACUGAAAUAGAGAGAGGCCGAUGAGACAACCCAGUUUGACAUAUGCACAUGUGAGAAGGAGGUUUCAAAAGUUAGCUAUCUCAUUUUCUGACUUCUCAUGGUUACUCAUUUACCAAAUUAAUUGUUUUCCAUUAUUAUUUCCUCUAUAACUUUUAUGAAUUUUAUCAUUAUACCCUUAAAUCUUUAUUCCAUUAGUUACUUUCCUUUGCACAAGUCUUCGGAUUUCAAUUGAUUGGAAUAUAAUUAUUGUCACAAAAAAUUUCCCAGCAUUGAUAAUGAGGAAAGUGACAAAGGUGGAUUAAUAAAUUAAGUUAUAGGACCGACGACUUUGAAUAAAGUAAGGGAAAGGCACAGUGAAAAGAAUAUGAAUUAAGGAGUUGGUAUGUGUAUAUAAAAUGUGGGUAUUGGGAGUGAUAAAUUCACAACAAAUAUCAAUCUAUUUCUAUAAUAUUCAAUCUCUCUAUUUCAUGAUCAUGAAUAUUCUCAAAGUGAUGAUGUUUAUAUUUGUGAUGAGUGUGGUGUUGCAGGUUGCAUAUGGACAACACCAUAUCAGAUGCAUUCCGAAGGAGAGGGAUGCACUCCUUCAAUUCAAGGCUGCCAUUGUCGAUCGUUACGGCAUGCUUUCCUCUUGGACCACUCCUCACUGCUGUCAAUGGGAGGGGAUUCGCUGCAACAACCUCGACCUUCAUGGAGAAGUUCAUUAUGAAUCUCUUUCUCUUGGCUAUAAUUAUCAAGUCUCUUGGCAUUAUUACAUCAGCGGAGAGAUCCACAAGUCAUUAAUGGAGUUGCCACAGUUACAGUAUUUGAACCUCAGUUUCAAUUAUUUUCUAGACAGUAAUAUUCCAGAGUUUCUUGGCUCUCUUACCAACUUGAGAUAUCUUGAUCUCUCUUCAUCUUAUUUUAGCGGACAAAUUCCAUCUUAGAUAAGUUCUCUUUCUCAUUUGAAAUAUUUGAAUCUUGCUGAUAAUUAUUAUCUGGAUGGUUCAAUCCCUCGUGAACUUGGAAAUCUCUCUCGGUUGCAGUAUCUUGGUCUCAGUGGCAAUUCUUUUGAAGGAUACAUUCCUUCCCAACUAGGAAACCUUUCAAAUUUGCAUAAACUCUAUCUUGGAGGAUAUCAUAAUGCUCUCAAAAUUGUCACUAGUAAUCAAUGGUUAUCUAAUCUUAAUUCUUUAACCCAUCUUUCCUUCUAUUCCAUAUCUAAUUUUAACAGUUCUCCUAGCUGGCUUCGUACCAUUGCCAAGCUACCAAAACUAAAAGAAGUCAGUUUAAUUGAAUGUGGCCUUUCCGAUCAUUUCCUCCUUUCAUUCAACCCUUCCAACUUCAAUUUUUCUACUUCUCUUUAUGUCCUUAGACUUUCUGAUAACUCCUUCACGCAACCGAUGAUGUUCCAGUGGGUGUCAAACACCACUUCCAACCUUGUUGAGCUUGACCUUAGUUGGAACCUCUUGAAGGGUUUGACAUCAAAUCAUUUUGGCUUGGCCAUGAAUUCGCUUGAGCACCUUUACCUGUCUGGAAAUGUGUUCAAGGGUGAAGAUUUGAAAUCAUUCAUGAAUAUAUGCACCCUACGUUCAUUAUACAUGUUUGGAAACAAUAUGACUGAAGACCUUUCGUCAAUUCUUCAUAAUUUCUCCAGUGGUUGUGUUAGAUAUUCACUACAAGAGUUGAGUUUGACAUAUAAUCAAAUCACAGGUUCCAUACCUGACCUUUCAACAUUUUCAAAUUUAAACACGUUGGAUCUUUAUGGCAAUCAAUUGAGUGGAAAGAUACUUGAAGGCACUAGGUUGCCAUCUCAUUUGGAGCAGUUGUCAAUUGGGUCUAACUCUUUAAAAGGUGGUGUUCCAAAAUCAUUUGGAAGCACAUGUACUUUGGAAUUAUUGGAUUUUUCUUUCAAUAGUUUGAGUGAAGAUCUCGCAGUGAUAUUUAAUCAUUUGUCUGGAUGUUCUAGAUACUCAUUGCGAGAAUUAUAUCUCCAUCAAAAUAAAUUCAAUGGCACAUUACCUGAUUUUUCAAUAUUUUCAAAGUUGGAAACGUUGGAUCUAUCAGACAAUCGAUUAAAUGGAGUUCAAAAAUUACUUCGCAAUUAUACUGUUUUGCGUUCAUUGAACCUAUUUAAUAACAGUUUGAGUGAAAAUCUUCCAGCAAUAAUGCAUCACUUAUCCCCAUCGUUGCAAAGUUUAAAUCUAGGCAUGAAUCAAAUUAGUGGUACUUUGCCUAGCAACCUCGCUACAAUGUUCCCAUCAUUAAAAGAAUUGUACCUUGAUAGUAACAAGCUAAAUAGGACAAUUUCUGAAGAUCUUCGAUUUCCAACAGAGCUUGAGGUAUUAUCAAUGAUGUCAAACUCUUUGAAAGGUGUGUUAACUGACUCUCAUUUUUAUAAUAUGACAAAAUUGAAGUCAUUGAUAUUGUCAGAUAAUUCAUUUUAUAAUUUAAGUAGCAUUUGAUUAAGGUGUCAUAUUUACUCUUUUUAAAUAAUAUUUUAUACAUUAUUCAUCUAUUUCGUUCCAACUUGUGUCACAAUUGAUUCUACAUAGCCAUGGCAGAUUGAAAGUACUAAUUUAUAAGAGAACAGAUGGGGGAAUAGCAUUUCUUUUUUUCACUCUUCUAUUUUUGAAUUAUAUAAAUAAUAAAACCAUUCCGGAACAGAAUCUGAUAUUCCACAGUUAGAAAUGUCAAGAAUUUCAAUGUCCUUUUGUGUAUGGAACCAUUUAGGAAAAGUUGGACCUAUCUUGCAAGAUGUCAACCCUAUAUAACCCAAUUGAAAGGACGGGGUCCAGUUUUUGCUAAAUUCUAAAGCCAAUGAGUUGUCUGAUAGAUCUAACAACUGCAACUUUGACAUGUUACCAAAAUGAGAGUCACUGAUCACACCUCCCAAAGAGUUCAAAUUCAUUUUGAGAGUCUCCAGCUGAGUAGGAAAUCGAAUAUCUUUUGGAAUUUUACCAUUUAGCCUGUUUUCAUCAAGAGAUAAAGUUUUUAAAGAUGAGAAUACUGGGAAUCUUGCAAGUAGAAAUUAAAAUCUUCAUGCAACAUUUCUGUUAGAAGUGGGUUUUAGGCCUAACUCAACCCUACAAAACCGACUUGUAAGGUGAGGUCUGCACCCCACUUAUAUAUUAUAAAUUGGCCUUAUCUUUAGUCGAUGUGGGACUUCCAACACACCCCCCUCACGCCGAUGUAUAUACAACCAUAACUCUGAUACCAUGUUAGAAGUGGGUUCUAGGUCUAACUCAACCCCACAAAACCGGCUUGUAAGGUGAGGUCUGCACCCCACUUAUAUAUUAUAAAUUGACCUUAUCUCUAGUCGAUGUGGAACUUCCAACAAUUUCUACAGACCAAAUUUCUAACUCCUGACAAAUUUAAUGCUAAGGUUUGUCAAUGAAGUGAGUACUGCAGAGACCUUGUUUUCUUAAUGGGCAUAACAAUUUCAGUUUUGGCCUCCAGAGUUUCUGUUCUUCCUUUGAUAUAAAGGUGAAAUAGGAAACUGGAGACUCAAUUUUGCACUUAACAUAUGAUUUCCUGACUUAAGGGUAUUUAAUUCAAGCGUAAAUUUAAAUGAAAUAUGAGAAAAAAGCAAGCCAUUAAUGCCAUAAUCCAAAAUGUAAAAGCUAUUUUUUAAACCAAGACUAACAAAGAAUAUUUACCAAUGACUAUAACUGCACAUAUGACAUUGUAAAAAGUUUGCAAGAAAAAGAAAAUAAACAAAAGGGUCAAACAAGAGGGAUUUUUGAAAAACCGUGCAUAUACAUUGUACUCUAACACUAACAUAGGUUGCUUUUAAUGUAAUGGUCAAGCAGUUGAAUCACCAUUUGUCAAUAAGCCAACAUUAGGUUCACAUUAAUUGCAUAGAGAAAAAACAUCAUGGUGUGUGAAUGAAAUCUAAAAAGGACAUGUGUUUUUAUUUAAAUUUGGUAAAUUAGAUUUGGUCAAACUCUUAUCUACUUUUGACAACUCUAAAAUCAAGAGUAAGAAAAAUGACAAAUCAUACAAAAUAUAUAGAAGAACUAUAUAUUAUUCAAUAAUGCUGCUACCCGUAAUAAUACAUUAUUUAUAAAGUUUAUACAUCAUAACUGCUAUUGAAGGAAAAAACAAGUAAAUAUGGAAUGACAAAGAUAAUAUAUAACAGCAAGCCUUUAAGCUACCUCUUGUAAUUGGGAACUUUUGCUGUGAUCAUGCGAUAGAUAUUGUCGGUUAAGUUGUUCAAGAACCUAAAAUAUAGUUGUCGCCAUGGACAAUUCAACAAAU